GGUUGCUAUGGCUUGGAGGCUCAUCAGGUCUAACGGACUUUCGUCCUUCGACUCCUAUAGGCGGCUUCGCUAUCGCUCCUGACUUAGUAUAGAAACCGGUAUAAAAGUGCUCACCCUCAACUCCAAGGAAUGGGAGUGAAAUUCAUUCCAUUCCGUAUAAGUAAGUUGAUAUGAAAAAUCGGCACAUCCUAUGAAAGGCUCUCACCUAGCAGGCCUCUUUGACCCAGUGCUGGUACAUUCUACAGUGGGAACCACCAGAAAAAAACAAUUGCUUAUCCAUUCCGUAUUGGGUGCCAUACCGUUUGUUUUCUAGAAUCUGGUAUCCGCUAUGUACCUUUCUCUAGAAAAGGCGGAGUCACCUACUUACCUUUCCAAGUCCUCUUCAGAAACAGAUGUAGGCGCUCGUGUGUCCACUAAGCGGUUCUUCUUUGGAAAAAUUCCAGCGAUUUCUUCCCUUGAUUGCUAACUUACUGGUACGUCUUGCCUAUCUGAUCCGAGGAUCCAAGUAUCUGAUCUCAUUGGAAGUAGGUAUUUGAGAAAUAGGUGAGAAAUGGGAGAAACUUACAUCAUUAUGACAAACGAAGGCUUAAGACCACAGGCACAAGACCCGAAAGUGCAACAUAAUCAUAGCUUUUUGGGUUGUAGUGAUCUCUUGUUGUUAGUGCGGGAUUCUACUCUUUCUCUUCCUGGGCGGAUCCUUACUACUAGGUACGAAAUAACAAACAGGAAAGGACAUUGACACGGUCUCCAAAGCAAGACUUUGACCCUCGAUCGCCAUCAGAACAUUGAGUUCGAUUUGUCACAUCUAGACCGGACCCUGUGUACAACUCAUAUAAAGGUAGUCAACCAAACGAACCACCAAUCUAUUAUGAUGCUCGAAUAAAAUAGGACCAAAAGACGGAGGUUUCUGAACUUUUUUAUGCUGUAUGCCUAAGUUUCCAAACCCGUCUUGAAGGUUACUUUACCAGAGAAGUAGGUCCUAUUGACCAAGAAGCGGAAAAAGCAUAGUCGGUACUUCUUAAUGCGGUACGUAAGCUGGUUAUCCUGACUAACAAUCAUGCCUUGCUUGGAUUUAGGGAUUAGGAAUUCUUAUUGGGAAAGAGAUUGGAUUGGCAUUCAAGUAGGAGUAGAUCCUAUUGGUCCAAAGUAGGCAUUCUUGUAUCAAUUAAAGUAGCUAUCUUCAUGAAAUAAGCGCUAAGAUUCUAGUUCAAAGAUAGGAGCAUUAAGCUCUAAAUCCAGUCAGUCCAGCUGGAAGUUUCACUAACUACUUAGGGAACUAGGGACCAGACCAGAGUUAUGAUUGGUGUAUUCCAUUCCUACCGUAAUUGAGACUUGCCCUCGCUCGCGGGUGAUUCCUUAUAGCUUGAUCCAUGUGAUGGCUGUUCUCUGCAAUGAACCACAACAUGUCCAUGGACUUCACAGAGAAUUGAGUGAAUGCACUAAAAACCAAGAAAUGACAUAGCGAGAUAGUCUACUGAGCAGCUCGAAAAGCUCGGACUUCGUAUACAGAAAGUAGAACUAAAAGCAGAUGAGUAGAGAUUGAAUCGAGCAUAGAAAUAAGAGAGUUUUUCUUUGCUUAGCACUGUUCGGUUCGUCUUUCUUUACAAGUCAAUCUAUGCAUAAUUCUAUUUCUUGCAGCGCUGAAUCCGCUUUUGAAAUCCAGAUCAGGGGGCGGUAUUCUUAUUCCUUGGCUCGCCACUUAUGAAACAAAACUAGAUAUUUCUUAUUAUUUUCUUAGGAGCUGAGCUCCGCAUGCGGUUCGAUUAAGAUGCGACAAAACCUUAUCCAUUAGUCUUGGCGAUGCCAGGGAUGGAGGGAGUCAUCAGUCGCACAAGCUUAUUGCUAAAGCCAAGACAGGACAUAAUAGCUUCUAAGUAAUGCCAUUGUACCCGCUUUCAUCAUGCCCAACUCAAAAACCAUUUAUCCCAUACUUCUUCUUUUCUUGUUCCUUCGUAUGAAUAACAGGAAUCCCGGUUCGGAUGGUUGACCAACAUUAUGAUUGUGUAUGAACUAGGGCUUUGGCUCAACACCUGCUGUCUUUCUUGCCCAUCCUUUUGUGGUAUCGAAGCUGUUCAUUGAGAUCCAUAGGUUCACGUUACAACCCACCAAUAGUCGAUUCCAGAGCGGAAGGCGAAAAAGAUAGGACGGGGACCCUUCGGAAGAAGGUAUAUGCCCGUAGUAUCUAGAAAAUAUUCAUGGUUGCAAGAGCGAGGUUAGUCAUCCUCACCAUCACCAUCAAAUACCGGUACUCGCUUUUUCUACAAGCUUGAUUUACGAACUCGACCUUUCGCAGGAAGUUCUUGGUAAAAUCCCUUUCGCAGAUUCCUUUGGUUCCAUGUUCAGAUCCAUCUAUCUUCUCUCCCUUUCUCGGAUUCGGAUUCGGGCCAGACGGAGGAAGUCUUUAUAAGAGCUUGCCGUGGAAGAAUACGCAUAAGCAUUAGUUCUUGCCCUUCCAGUGUAAGUGGCAGAUCAAACUUGAUCUAGUUCCACACAUUGCCUUUUCCCUUAUAUGUCGUGGCAGGCGAGCUCCCUUCUGGUAAAAAGGAUUUGAGUGGAAGGUUGAGCGCCCCUUAACGUUUAGAAGUAUCCUUUUCAACGGUUAGAAACCUUUCUAUUCUAUGACGGCUAAGUCGAGGGCAGACACAACAGGUCACGAAGAGCUAGAGGAUAUAGAAUUCCUAUUUACCGGGAACGGAAGGAAACAUCGGCUCUUCCGAGAUCUUAUGUAAGGAAUACUAAAAAAAGUAGAGCAAAAAGAUCUACAAAACUCUACAAGAAAUGUCUUUCCCGCAGAAGACUCUAACUCCUCAUAGCAUUACGUCAAUCUGCAAAUAUCGAAUGAUGCUUCGACAGAUUCAGUCAUCCAUUCAGCUUUGAAAUCGGAGACAAGGAAAACUUCAUAGAAGCGCCGCGGAUCAAUAUAGAGAUGCGAACCAAUAUCCUUUUCCUGGUGGGCUCUGAAGUACUCGUCUUUUGCGCAAGGCCUCGUGUCAAAAAACUUCCAACCACGUCCUCCUACCUCGCCCAUUUGCGGAGAUCAUCUACAUUUUGCUCCGUGUCGAGCUCCAGCCGGCCCAAACGUUUUCCUUCGGGAGGGCAUAAAAUCGCUUUCUUUCUGUAGGGAGGACGGAUGAUUCAAGUAAGGGCUGAGAGCCUACAUAUCACUGAGAUGGGCCAAGGAAGAAAAAGCACCUACUGUUCGUUAAUUUAAAUUCUCUUUGCUUAGCGCCCUUGUGUUUCGAAUAGAAAAGCACUGGAGAUAUCUGUGGAACUGUUGUUUUUCUUAGGGCAAGCUAGCAGAUAGAAGUAAUCUAUCUGGUUAGCCAGGCGAAGCAUUUAGGCAAAUGGUCCCCAGGGGAAGGAUAAAAUAAUCCUAGGUAAACAACAAUGCUUUCCGAUCGAAACACCCUUUUUUUCCUAUUUUCAAAUAGGCUUCCGGCCUACUCAAUCCUUUCCCUUUCCGCGUCUCCACAUUUCUCUUUUUUAAUAGCUCGUUAUUUUCCGAGGAUACGAAUCGAAAGGCAGUCUUCGAAUGUGCUUUGCCUUACCCGAGGAUAUUACCUUUUCUGCUUACCCGUACCAGUGCCAGAAGUCAUGGAUGCUAUUCCCACUGAGAGAUGUGCUGCAAAAGGGACAAUCACAUGAGAUUCAUGUAGUGCCUUACUUACAUGUUGAGAGAAAUCGAAUACCUAUUUGAUCUAGAAAGAGUGAGGUAAGGUCAAGUAUCUGAUCUCUAACCAACAUUUGGUACCUCUUGAAUGGGAUUUCUCGCAGACAUGAGCCUUCCUCAUCAUAUUUUGAUACAACAACUAGGAUUGAUGGCGAGCCUGGAAGCCUUGCUUCUCCACUGGGGGCUAAUUCCAUAAACAAGUUGUUCUAUCUCAAAAAUCAUUUUAGGAAUGAAUGAGAAUUUCGUUAGAUUUCGUAUACAAGGUAAUGCAUCGUACCUCCGUUAAAGGCUCAUUUUCUCCAAUCUCUGAAUUUCUGCGAAACGAAUUGGCAUAUAGAGAAUAGGUUUCUGGCAUGACCAAAAUGAACUUCACAGAUCCGAUACAAGAAAGGAUCGAUUCAAACAGCAAUUGUUAAGCGUCUCUGGAUAUUGUAGCAACCUACACGCCUGUCUAACCAAUGUAGUUCUGUCGUCAAGUUGCUCUGCUUGUUCGUUCUGAUCUUUCCAUUUCAUGUAAAGCACAGGAACGCGGUGGAUCGUACCCCCCUGAAACCUACAGAUAGGGAGCUCCCAAUAGAAGGGAGUAACCGAAAUCAAGCUUGCUCACUGAGCAUAAGAACAUUGAAAGCAGGCGGACUAUCAGCAGCAUUGCGAUUCUUUAUUUGGGCAAAGCCAAGGUAUCACUUCGGGAAGAAAUGCUGUUUCAAACCACAAAUGAGUUGGAAUGGUCAAUUUGGUUUUUCAGCUACUAGUACACUCGCUAUGAAAUCCUAGAUCUUCUUGUGAGCUGUCUCCACACCAUUGAGAAAUAUUUGGAUCAAUGAUAGCAGAGGCAGGCAAGAAAAGCUGCUCAAAGGGGACGGCACGAUGAUCGAGUUCGUGCUCGGGGAGUGCCAUGUCUAGCUAGUUCGUGCAGACACCCGCCCUUUCCAAUCAAUGGAGAAUGGUUACUAGAGCUAGCGCCUGUCCCACUUUAGAACACUAAGAACGUAAUAAGCCUAGCCGGGACAAAUGCACUCAGUGUUAGUCCGAUCACCUCGGCUAAAAUCAUCUUCCCUUUAUUAAUGACCAAGGGUAUCCAUAUCAUGAUAUGUAGAUACAAGAGGGCAGAGGCAUUGAUGCGGGUAGGAUGCGUGUCUGCUUUCCUGUUGUUUGAAGGAGUAGAUACAUUCAUUUCCUUUUGCCAGAGUGAGAGUGAGAGUUGUGUGGGAUGUUGACAAUCACUAUCUCGUCUAGUGACGAGUGCUAACCUUACAUGAAUCAUGCCAAGCACAGAAGAAAAAGAGGGGCUGGUCUUAACUGAAAGUUGUCCUUGUCCGGCUGAGGAAAGAAAGGGAUGACGAGACGGGGACCCAAAGGUUCCCGGUGAGGAGGCCCGAUGCAAUGUUAGAAACUGUUGUUCCAGUUGUUCCUGUCUGAUCCUUACGAAAGCUGGUGAAAACCUUUGUUCCUUGUUCCUCGGCCUUAGUUAGCAUUUUCGAACAGUGAAAUACACCUUUGUCCUGCGUUGCAUGGUGAGAGUGUGAAUGGAGGCAAAGCCAUGUAAGAAGACAAGAGACAACAAGGCUAUUUCAUUGGGAGACCCCAGUAUUUUGACUACAUUGGAUAGGUGAUAGCUCUUCUUCCUUGGUAUUGGUAACCUCAUCCCCCGGCGUUCUUUGCUCGCCAACUACCCUUAUUGUCGAAUGGACUUUCUAUUCUCUUUCAGAAUGAGAAUUCAUAGACUCUAAACGUUGUUGAAAACCUGUGUAUAAAGAAGGCAUCCCAAUAAACGUGGCUUCAUUGUUGCUUAAAGGGGAACCUGAAUCGAUCGAUAUCUUGUCAUGAGAAAGGCAUCAUCGAAUCAAAGCAACCCUGCUCGUUGCAUCUUUAUCAGAGAGAAAAUCUUGGAGAACACUUUGCAUUCCACUGCUUCGACCUUGAUUUCUUGGCUUUGAUGUUGUUAUCACAAUCAGGUUGCCAUAACACGCAUUGCUAUGUUGAGACAACAUGAUCUUGAAUCAGGAUUGGAUUGCCUUAUCUUAUUAGUAGGCUUCGGUUAAGUUCCCUUUUCUUUUCCCUGGGAAACGGUACCUGCAUUCCCGUGAGCUUUUCCUAUCCCAUUGCUCUCUAUUCUCUAAUUCCCUCAAUCCAAGUUUAUAUACCCUCUGAUUUGGGUAUCCAUCUUUUCUGCACUUGCCCUUUUCCCUUGUUUUCUCUACUUCCCAUUGGAGUGUACAUAUAUUAGAUAUGGGAUCUAUUUUCAUCAACCAGCAGCAGGAAAGCUAGCACAUUUACCUUAAUCCAUUUCCCUUGAGGAUCACAUUUAUCUACCGAUAAGUUUGAUGACUUCUCACUGUGAUGGCUUCAUAACAUACUUAGCAAACCUAGUAAGGGAUUUUGUACCUUAAUCUAGUGAAAGGUGCACAUCCAUCCGAUCCCUAAUCUAGCUCUCUGUGCGUCAGAAACCCAUUGUCAAAGAAACGGGUUGAUUCUUCGGUUCAAGUGAUGGUGGGGGAGAAAGAAGAGUGGGUAUGUAUAUUUCUGGUGCCAGUUGACUAGCUUGAUAGAAAGAGGAAUAUGUUGAUCUAUCAAAUCUAGAUUCUAUCAUUUGUGCCAUAGCUUUUCGAUGUUUAGUUAUCGAAGUCAGUAUCUUUUUCUCUCCUGGUUCACAAAGCAAGGUUUUUUCCUAGCGCAAAAUAGCUAGCUUGCCGGAAGUCACCUAGCUGGGCCACUGCCUGGAUACAUUACUAAAGCGAUUCUCUGGUUUUGCUUGCGGUAUAGGAACCCUUCCCGUAUAGGAACUACUGCCGAGGCGUACCGUUGUUUCCGUAGAGGAAGCCGCAUCCCCGAAGUGCACCAUUCCUUCGAUCAAUAGAAUAGGUUAUUUUCUGGUUGCCGUAUAGUUAUUGUUGGUAGGAGCCGAAACCCUGGAUAAAAACAAAAGGAACCGGAUUGCCGGUAAAUCUCAAUUUGCUCCAGAGUUUUUUCUAAUGACCUUUCCACACCUGUUGAAGGGAAUCACUCCUGGCAACUCCUAGAAUGCGGUUAGAACUUGUUUUUCUUCAGAAAUAUGGGGAAUCAGCCAUCGAACUACCACUGCUAUGAUCCGUCUUCGAUUCACCAGCAUCAGCUAUCUUAAAAUGGCAUUUUAGAAAGCAUCUCUUCCCUUGUUGGCUUGGGUUCCUACCGUUUACUAAUAAUAAGAGGAGUGGUGCCUUUAGAUUUCUUUUCUUGAAAUUAUGCAUCUCUCUUAUCAAGUGAUUUCUGACAUCACCCUGCUCGCGAACAUAGAUCCAGCCCUUCCUAUUGAGAAAAAACACCUUGUAUCCCCAGCUCAUUGUGAAUAAGCAGGUGAUACAUAGGAGUGAAGAAAGAAAUUCCCCGUGCCGCUUGCCGUUUCAGGUUCAAGGAAUGGGGAAGUGUUCUGUUGAGAAAUGUUUUUUUCACUCAUGGGCGUAAUUCCCUGCAUUGGUGUGUGAGAAUUCUAAAGCUAGCUUUAUGGGAGAGCAGGUUAGGGCGUACCCCCGGUGGAGCAUGUAGGUGGUGAAGGAGGAUAUCGUUCAGUGAUGCUAUGACUACUGACCAUAAAAGAAAGAGUUCUUUACGGCGCAGAUGUGCGUUAGGUUUCCUAAAAACGUUAUCAUUUCUAGUGGGGGAUCUCUAGGAGGGAGGGUUAUUUCUAGAAAAAACAAAUGGAUAUCCAUUCUAUCUAGCCGAGGGAUAUUUCCAGAAGGUAGGAAGUUUCUCCUUCCGGCCAAGGAGAAAGAGACAAGUUUCCACCUCAUCCGAGUUUUCUCAGUGACUUCCCCAUAGCAACGGGAGAAGUUUUUUCACCCUAAAGGAAAGGAAAUUCGAAGAAAUCAGAUCUUUCAGUGAAAUUAGCAUCUACUAAUCUAACUAGCGAACCAAUAUUAGUAUCAUUUUUGGGUUCUUACCUUUUAGUGACUCUUCACCGAGUGAUACACUACUACUUUUGGUUCGAGUGAUACACUACGGCAUGUUACGAACAUUAUCAAUCCUUGAAAAAAGGAAGAAAUGGCGAACGUACGCUAUCCAACAGAAGUCCCGACCGAUAUGACUAUUCCUAUCCUUUCAUCCUUAAGCGAAUGCUGGAACGAAAGUAAUCCCUCGAAGUUCAAUAAAAAGGGUAUUGCAAAUAAACUAAUUGUUUGCAAAAUACCACCUCCUCCUGUAUCUACUAUUGGUUUCCUGAAAAUCAACCAAAAGCAAGGGUAUCCUUCGUUGCACAUCUUCUGAAAAGAUAAGGGCUCGGUAUCGGCUCAAUCGAACAAGCUGAGGUAUAUAGGGAAUAGUAGAACAUAUUGAUUAUCCUAUUGGAUUGGUUCCGCUCAGUCGAGAUAUGAUGACUCAAUGGGCAUUGAGAGUUGAGAUGAAAUGCACUAUCGUUAUGCUUUGAGGUGAAGAGAUUUCGGUUUAUAUAUUAUUGAUGCCCACCUCUUUAUCCUUGUGAGCGAGGUCUGCCCUCUGGAUGGGUAGAGCGAGAGGGAUAGCAAGGACUUGAAAAGGGAAGGUUUUUUACGGCUAAGAUGUUUCAGUUCGCCCCGACAUGAAGCUACCACUUCUCUCCUAUUGUUUCAAGCUGUUAUCUCAUUGCCCCCUUUUAGUAGCACCUUUGACCUCUAUCGCUCAGAGCACAAAUCGUUGUGCUCCUCACUGCUCAAGAGACUUCUUAUUUUCUUCUUACCCUUCGAGAAAGAGGCCUUGCUUUCGCACAGGAAGGAAAGAAUUGACUCGGGUAAGUAAGCCCUAUUGGGGGAUUAAGGGCUCGAGUACGAUUAGAGCGCCUUUUUUUCUGCUGCGCAGGCUGACCAUUUUAAAUAGGGGGAAACAGGAGACUGUAGAAGAUGAAUAUGGCUAGUCUACUGCUACUGUUUGAUUGGCAAUCCUUAUACUAUAGGGAUGAAGCAAAGGAGCAUAACCUACCUGCAACUAUGCUUUAAAGCAAAGAAAUCUAUCGAAAUUCUCAUUCCAGUCUGAGGGGAUAUCUGAAGCUACCGAUCCGGGAUCUCACUCAAAUCCAAACCUAGCACUUUUGUAUUUAUUGCUUCUCCUUUUAGAAGGUCCGUAGCCGAGUAGAAGAGAAGAAAAGAGAUUUCCUUAUCUGCAUGCCAGCUUUCAUUCCUACUUUUGAUGAAAGAAAGGUCAGUUGCUGCCGACAAGUCGACUAAACUUGGUUUUCACAACUGUCACCUAUCUUUAAGCACCUUCUAGGCCGCUUCCCAACCUAAUGCAUUCAAGUCUGCCUUCGGUACUGGUACUUCGGAAUCAAGGGCCCAACAAGCGAUAUCAGGAGUCUUUGGCCGAAGAACUAGCGGAUAAGAAGGUUAUUCCAUAACUAUAUAAAAUCCAUAGUCACGCUCAGCAUGCGAAAGCUUGUAAAAAUGACAUCCCCUGCGAAAACCAAUAGGAUUUGUUGGGCCAUCGAACACUAGUUUCUGGUUUCUCAAGACCUUGAGGCAAGGGCAGUUACGCAACAUUUUCUCAAUAUUGAAUGUGCAUUUUUCCCGCAUUUUUUCGAUUCCACUUCUGUAUCAGAAAUUAGUGUCAAGGGAUGGAGUUCCUGUUUCGUUAACUAAGUCUCGCGUUGUUUGCUUGAGGAAGGGACGGCCGUAGCUAAAUUUCCAUUGCUAAUCUUACAUGUUCCCACGAACAAUAAAGAAAAGAAGAAAAGGCUAUUCCUUAGACACAGAGGUGGGAUUAAGGCGUCAUGCGGAACUCCAACAACAUAGACCAGAUGACUUAUUUAUUGAAAAUAGGUUUAGGAGCCUGAUCCUGGAGCUGAGCAAGCAUGGGCGCGAUCCACAUCGAGUGGAACUACUAUAACUAUAUCUGUGGAAGGAAGGUUGAACCUUCACCGAAUCAUAGUUAGGUGGCACCCAUUCCGCAGUGGGCCGACGUCACACUGCCGCUUCAAUAGCUAGCGGGUAAUAAUCAGAAAGUGAAUCAUCAACCACUCAUUUAGAAGCCGCUCAUGCAACAACGUUUAAGUAAAUCCUUCCGCCCUUAUUUUCUUUAGUCUAGUUGUUGGAGGAAAUGCGCCUUGAACACAUUACGUAUACUAGCUGAGCUUUGUCCCUAAUCGUGACUAGUUGUUAUUCGUUUCGAUCAAUUUUCCCCCCAGCCGGCAAUGCCUCAGCUUCUCAAAAUCUAGGAAGCUCUGAAAAAAAGUCAUCAUUAUGAAAAGAUACUAGCGCUACUAAUAAGGGAAGCUACUUUUUUCUAAGAAAGGAAUAAAGCAGAAAACUAAAGAAAGAGAUCUUAAGUGGGUCCCGCGAGUAGUUUGUCUUGUUUCAGUCCGUACAAGAAGAUACUUUCAGGGUUGCCCAAGAAGGGACGGGCCUAUCUAUUGGUGGUACUAGUUCCGCGGGAGGGGCAGGAUUUCGGUGCCGUCAGCAUGGGUCCGGCUAUCGAUCACAAGGGUCUAGAUACGGGUCUCGAACGGAAAAGUAUGCUACAUAUUGCUCUGCUCCAGUUCCCUCUGCUUACACCUGGUCAAUUCGUUGAUCGCCCCUUUUAUUUCUGAUUUUCAAAAGGGCCCCGCUCUCGUCUCUGCUGACGAAGCCUUUAUCUCUGUCUCUGUUAUCCUCGUACCUGCUGAUCUCUUCGACUGAUAGAGUCUAUGCUAUUGGUGAAGCUGGUUCUACCUCAACAACAGGAUCUGCAAAUGGAUUUUCAACUAACAGCCUCUGCUUCAAUUUGUGAUGAAAGGUCGACUAGUUUUCACCGAAUCUUCAAUUACGCACCGGUAACUUUUUUCCAUUUCCGAGGUCCAGAGGGGAAGACGAAGUACAGCCUAGUUCAGAGAGUCACGAUUGAAUCCAGGUUAAUUCAGCAGCAGCUAGAGCAAUACUCCGAUAUUGAUUUGAUUCUCCGCUACCCACCAAGGUAGAAGACUGCUUGAUCCGCAAAAGAAGUAUGCUUUAUUUGCUUAUUGAACAAAAGUAUACGCUUUUUCAGGGAAAGAUAGACAGUCUAUCAUAUGGAAUAGGGCAUUCAGCAGUUUGAAGAGGUAGCCUUUUUCAGUAGCAGUCUUGUAAGCAAGCGCCGUACGUUCAAUCUAUACUGGCGAGAGUCUUUCCUCUUUUAAUACAAAGCCUGAGCGCGUUGCAUGACUUAAUGCCAGCUCUUUAUCAUACAUCUUCUGUAGAACCAAUAAAUAUAAGGGAUAUGUGUUAGCACAUCUUGUUCGUGCUCUGCACCACGUUUUUCCUGUAUACCGGCAGCUAGCAUCCCAUCAGUAACCUACGGGCGAGAUUUCUUGAGGGGGGCUGGCCAUGGUUUUUUAACCCACCCUUUCAUUCACUUAAGACCCAAAGCAGAAAAGGUUUGCAAUCCAUAUACUGGAAUUUGGUUCCACCGAAGUACAAGGACUAAACUGGUCGACUCCACCGCAGGGUGCGAGAUGUUGAGCUUCCUCGACGCCUACUCUGGGUAUCAGCAAGUCUAUAUGGCUGAGGAAGACAAAGAAAAAACUAGUUUUAUCGCCCCUUCCUUCUGCUACAAGCGGAUGCCCUUCGGUUUGAUAAAUGCCGGCGCCACAUUUAAGCGCCUAAUGAGCCUCAUCCUCAGGUCUCAGUUGGGUCGUAAUGCAGAAGUGUACGUUGACGACGCCGUCAUCAAAAGCCGCUUGGCAGGGACUCACCCCAAAAACACCUCUUUUUUUGCAUCUGCUGAGCAGAACCAAUUACCAGAUCCUACUUCUAAGCUCUAUGCUCUACUUCGGCCUUGCUCUCACUUAUGGGUAGGAAGGACAAUAAGCAGGAAUUCAUGUUGGCUAACUAUUCUAUCCAGGCGGAAGUAGUUUUCAUAGGAAAGAUGGAAGGUUUUGCGCGUUGGUUGUAUCGAAUUUCCCUUUCUAAUAGCAUACACAAAUAGAUAAGAAAGUUACGACGAUGAUAAGGUAAAUCAAAGGUUUUCAUUUACGAUUGACAUUUUCAGUCAGGAUAGCUCAGUUGCGGCUUUCAAUUCGUAAGCACGAGAUCGAACAGGAUUCGUCGUACCUUGUUUCUAAGUCUCCAACCCUUUCCUUGGUUCUCCGAAUCGUACGUUACUAUCGGCCCAAAACCCUGGUUGGCUGCCGUGCCGGGCCUAUUGGCAGAGAGACAAGCUCUUGUGUGUUGAGCAAAAAGUAUAGAGAUUCCAUGCCUUAUACAAACAAAUAGCAUAUAACCUAGAAGAUUUUGUGACUACGAGUUGCGAUCGAUAAAGCGGCGGAGCCGAGGUAAUGGCUAUGGCUGCGUGCAACGGCCCAGUGGGGCCUGUAGGACCAUAUGUCACUGCUUAAUAUCUAUUUUAGGGCAUGGGUUUGAAGGGGUCGUGGGCGAUUCCCCGAAAGGUGUGGAAAGUCAGUUAUAUGCUCGAUUUGUUAACGAAAAAGAGCUCUUCUCUCGAAAAAAAGAAAUAGAAACGAUCUUGGUCAAGAGUGAGCUGCGCUAUACCCGUGCGAAGGAAGGAACGGACUUCACUCAUAAACAGCUUCCGCAAUGGAACCGGUCCCAGACAAUAGGUUCUCGUCUUGAACAUAAAGAGGGCAGGCAAGAAGAACCUCCACCAAGUUUUUGAUUCUUGGUGAUUUGACGGUAUCAAUGUCCCUCUCCCUUUUGGGGACUGGGAUGGCGUCCUUUCCCCGGCAAGGUGUCUACUAGGGGGCCGAAGUCAACCCGUCUUCAUUAACGUAGGCACAGCAUCAUCAUUUACGAUAUUAUUGGAGCUUUUUCUGUUUCUUUCUGGGCCAUGCACCGACCUACGUCCAGCUUUUGUUUAGCAAGCCCUCUAUAUGUCUUUGUUACCUCCAAGCCUCCCCGAUAUCAGAAUAAUUCUUCUUCGAAGUGUCAAAUCCUAACUAGGCGGAUAGAUAAGUUUUAUUUCGCACACGGGUGGGACGUACAGGAACGCUUGCUUAGGCUUUGUGCGUAUCCCUCAUAGCAAUCUUUCGGAAGCAGCUCUGGAAACCUUUUUUAGUGCAACGGUUUAAGAAGCGCGAAGGCUAAUAACAGUUGAUGGAAUGAUCGCUCCAUGGACCAGAAAGAACCUUGGUAAUUGUACCCACGAGUUAUUUUGCAUAAUAAAACUCGAAUUUCACCUGCUGCUAAGGACAAGAUGAGCUAAUAGAAAAAGUUCGGGCUUACUACUCCUGGGGCUAGGGGACUGGUAUCUACAUCCGAGGCCACAGGCAGUUGUUCCUGCUGUGGGUCCAGAAUUGUUGUAUAAUGGCUUAGACUAAAACAGCACCGAGACUAAACUAAGAGCUGAGAGUCCUAACUCAGUAAAGUACUUAUAGGAUUUAAAACAUUACCUAUUACUGCAUUAUUUGUUGCUGCGAGUCAAGAAAAGAAAGUGUGGAGCUCCGUGAAGAAGCAAGUUCAAUUACUCAAACGUUGGAACUAUUGUAAAACACAUUCCGUCGCCCAAGUCAGAUCAUUGCCUACUGGCCACGAGGCUUAUGAGGCCAGCGGAGGAGGUGGAGGGAAACGUAUGAGAUGAGGGAUUUGGACUUGCUACACUUACCAGAUGUGAGGUAGUUAAAUGCUUUCCUUCCAUAGCGAACUUUCCCAUAGCCGUAGUUCCAGUCUGACUCUCCGAAGCCUAUGACCAAGAGUAAGGGCACUCAGCAGGCUGCACCGAUUAGAGAGAGUACGUCGUCUAUUCAUUCCACUCAUUCCUUAACGUCCAAAGCUCAGAAUUCAUAAAGUUAAUAGGUGGGUAGGUGUUCUUAGGUUCGUAACAUGCCUUUCUUUCUCGGAAGCCUUGUUGAAUUAAUGGCAAGGGAGAUAUUAGCUUAAUGGCUUGGGGUAAGAUGCUAUGCUUGAGUCAGCGGAAAUCAUUUAUGACGAAGAAAAUAAAUCAUAGGCCUCUCCUGUAGCCGGGUAUGAGAGGUCUAGUUCGGUGAGAAUAGAUAGGGAUAGAAAGACCAUCCUGGUGCACAUGCUAUGGGUCUUAUUGUUUGUUGGUAAAGCAAGGAAGACUAGCUUUGGCGUGGGAAGCUUACCAAUUGAUGCGGUGGCUACUCGAUCGAGAAGAAAGAGCAGUUGUUACCCGCCUCCACUAUUAAGCAGCAUGAGCCACUAGACUGACUCGAUAUCCGUGUGUGGAUCCGCCCGAAGGCAGUCGAUUGGAAAAGAUGAAGACAAGGAAGAGCCAUUCUUCAUACAUAGGAGCGAGUGGUCGAAAUGGAAAGCGGACAAACGGAAUUCUGUACAACUAUAGGGUUCGGUUCUUUCUUCUGUCCCAGGUCCUUUCUUCUCUUGCGGAUCUUUCUUUGAGAGAUAGACGCUGUUCUCUGCCAUACUGUGGCUGUGCACUUUAGCACUUCUUCUUUCACUUGGUUUUUCUUCCUGAAGUUGGCUCGAAGACCUGUCCAGCCUUGAUUUUCCCAGUUAUUACUCGAGCGCGCUGAGGCAACUCUGAACUAAGCUCAGGGGAGGGGUAGUAGGUAUGCUUCAAACCCUCCGGCACCUUGAAGAACGAUGGCACUAGAUCGGGAAAGAUGAAUGACCAAUGAGGACAGGACAAUGGGGGAAGUUGGUAAUAGAGAAUCCUCCCUUCUUCUUUGCUUUCUUGCCUUAAAAAAUCCAAAACUAACCAUUGGAACCUCAUGGGCUACCGAGUUAGGAGAUUCAUUUUAUUUAUUACUUUGACUUUUUUUUUACUAAGUUAUUCUAAAAGAUAAGAGCUAACCGACCAUCCUGAUUGAAUGUUUGAGUACUCGGAGUCUCUCGUAAGUAUGGAAAGAAAGUCUCUUCUUUCCACAACUCCUAAAUUUCCCAUCAGCCUAUCCAAUCUAAUUCCAGACAGAGUCAGUAGACCUUACUUUAGUGUAGGUAGUGUCAGAUAAUUAGGAAGUCUUGAUAGUCUUUCGUAUAAUCUCUUCUUCAAUCCUAGGAGCAAAAAAGGAAUGUCCUUUAGGGACCUUUGGAUACCAAGAUUUCCGACCUCUUACUUUCGUAGUUAUGAAUUGCGGAAUAGAAUCAAUUAUGAAAUUAAUAAGUAUAUAUCCCUCAUCCCUAUUGGUAUCGGUAUCGGUUUGGGCCACUACCCAGAACCCUGCCAGAGCCCUAUUUUUAAGAAGAAAUUGACAGUCUUUUUUAGAACUAGAACUAUGGUAAAAUCCAGUAUCGACAGGCCUAGUUCUUUUCCUUUGCUUAUGCAGGGCAAGAAUUUGUCGAGUUCAAUCAGUACAAUAAGAAAUCCUAAGUAUUUUUUUGGUCAGGCGACACCCAGAUUUGAACUGGGGAUAAAGGAUUUGCAGUCCCCUGCCUUACCGCUUGGCCAUGCCGCCAAAUCCGAUCCAAAAUCGAGCAAAAUCUUAUUCAUCCACAUUAUUUUACUAAUUAGUAUUCGUAGGAGGGGAUUAUUAAACCCUUUUUGAUUUUUUUUAGAUCGUUGAAUCCCUUUGUACUUAUCCCUUUCCAAUCCCUUUUAAAAAAUUCAUUCCUGUUUUUUAUUGGACCCAGUUUUAUUCUCUUCGAUUGAUUGUAUCUCAAAACACACAUUGCUUAAAUACCUUCUCUUUCUAUUGAAAAGAGAAAGGAUUUCCAGUCACAGACUGCCAAAUUUAGGAAAAAUUGGAACCAUUAACUAUAUUAUUUGUUAUUAUUUGUUAUUUUGAUAUUUUCUAUUUGUUAGUAGUGAACGGUUCUAAAAUGGGUAUUGUAUCCCAAAUAGUGUUUCCUUAAUGGCAUAACAAAAUCAAAUUGAUUUACGGCUAAUCAGUAUCAAUUAAAAAAAAGAGAAUUAUGAUAUUGAUAUAGUGUGACCUGACCCCUGUUGCUCCAAGUGAAAUUCUUUCUAGGGUUCUUAAAGAUAUUCUCCAUUUUUUCCCUUUCCCUACAAUAAAGUAUAGUCUGAAGGCUAGCACGCACCAUUCCUCGCUUAUGAUAAUCUAAGGCCAAAAAGAAAGAAGGCUCACACCAUAAUAAUACAUACCCUUUUUCCUCGAUCGUCAAGGUCGUGGAUUUGGAUCGAUUUCGGUUUUACGGGCUUCAUACAUUGUUAAGAAAAGUACUCGGCAUUGGAAAGCAUCACGUUCUGGCCACACACAAAAGAAGUCGGUGGAAGGUAUGGAAUUUCUCGGCUGAAGGUCAGAAAGAAAGCAAUCGCCAGUGCUCUCGGUUCCAGCAACGAGUCUUUUCUCUGAGAAUUAAGGAAAACAAACUAACCUUGUCUGUCUAUGUUCACCUUGACAUGAAAGACUCUUUUCCUAACCUGACUGUUCUACCUGGCUAGUUCACUUCACUUUUCGAGGGAUCCUGGAUUGGAGUUCACUUGUCUAUGAGUGUCCGAACAGCUUCAGAUCCUUCCAAGGCGCAGGGGUUCUCUCUCCAUUCACUUUGAGCUGGGUUUCUUGUGAUCUUUGUAGUAGUUUUUCCGUCCAAUUUUAUGGUAAAUUAAGUCUUACACAGCUGUCCCCAAGGAUGUCCAUUCCAUUCGGCAGGGACUCCAUCUCGCAUUCGAUCUCCCUCCUUUCCCUGAAAGAGUCGAGGUCUCUCUGGACUUCUCUUUUGCCUCUCUCCCAGAUUCAGAAAAAGGGAGGAAGAGGGCCUCUCGACGGGAGUGAUUCCCCGAAAAGAGAUCGUUCCCAGCAUCCUCGAGUUCGUAGUCAAACUCACCUUCAUCCACCUUUCAUGGACUGGCGCGGGCAAGCGCCGAUGUCUGGAGCAGGAGAUGGAAGCUUGGGUUGAGGAGGCUGUCAACGAGUCAUCAAAGGCGAUAGAUUGGUUAUAUUCGGAUUCGUUUGAUUUUUAUUUUCUUUUUUUUGGUUGUGAGAGGUCUGAGUCCACAGCUGGGGAAGAGUCGUCAGAUGACAAUUGAAGUAGGGGUCUGCCUCUUUCAAAGGGAAGCAAGAGUCUCAUAGGGAAGGAGAUCCUGCACAGACCAAUCCCAAUCAGGAAGAGAGUCUUGUUGUCAAUGAAAGCUAUUUUUCUAUGUCACAUAUCUGCCUAUCUCGUGUUGUGAGCUAUAAAGUACCCACCAGGGGGGGGUGGACCAAGAAAGAGGCAGGCGAUUGGGUCCUUCCCAUCCUCUGUGAUGUCAGUCUCUUUGUCAUUCUUUCACCCUUGCUGAGUAGCGAAGUGAGCAUACUCAAGAUCCAAUUCAUCAAUCAUUUGAGUUGGUACGAACAUAGGAAUCCAGACUCCGCUUGAUUCGAUCUUCAGUUUCGACCUUCAUCAGUCAGGAAAAAGAAGAAGGACCCACUUAUUCCACUCGGAGAGACCGAACCAGGCAACAAAAAAAAAGAAAAACUGAAGGAAGUUCUCUUUCCAUUCCAACUAAACUAAGUGAAAAAAGGGGGAGAGCAAAACAGAAACACAGGAACAAAGAAACUAUGUCCAAACCAACGAGUCCUUUGGUCGACUCUAAAGAAUGUAUCGGGAGUUGGGAGUUAGCCGUCUCAUAGGAGUGAUAGCUGGGUUUUUCACGGAGUUUCUUCGUACGAUUGAAAAAAGAGUGCUCUAGGUCGGAGAAAACAAGAAGAAGAUUGUUCACCAGUCUGUCUCCCAACCUCUUUAAAGCAGCUACCUACCGUGAUCUGGUCUUGGGACAGCAUUGGCACCCCCGUUUGCUGGAUCUUCUAGGCACUCUAAAGCGCUUCCACGAGAGACAGAUGGACUUUGAGUUAUAGACGGAGAAGAGCCUUUAGAGGAUCAAGAGUGAUUCCUCAAUAAAACAAAUGGGAUUUUGAGGGAGGGCUGAACGCGAUGUACUGAAGGGUUCGCUUUCGCUGAUCGGCGCCAGUCUUUCCUGCUGUGAAUUUCCCAGGUCGGGAGGGGCCCUUUCCUUCUACCUUACUGAACCCAUUCACCAAUGAUUGGAUCACUCAAAGCUAAAGACCAAUUCCUUCCUUUUAGGUGGUCUAGGUGGCUGGGAUACUAUGCCCUUCUUUUUAGAGGCUCAAAGACGAGUUCUUUGAAGGAAGCAAAAGAACCCAUGUGUCUCGGAUGAAGUCUACCCUCUUUUUGUGCCGGGAAGAAGAAUGAGAUCCAACUCAAAGUCAAGGAAAGCGGCCUAGACCACUGACUUUUGAUGGAAGGCUUCUGAACAUGGAUUGGUCUGAUAAAGCCAAUUUUUCGGCGAAUCAAAUAUUUUCUGAGAGCACUAGACCUUCUCUCUUUCAGGAUUGAUUCCCACUCACUGCCUGAUAGCAGGCUUGGCCCAUGAGACCUAUUGUCUUAUUGUACUGGCUCACUUCACUACUUUGGAGGAUGGGUUUUUCCCCUUUUUGGUUCGCAAACGCUCUAACCCAUCGAGAAGCUCCAUCCAAAUUGGAGUUGAUGUGAGCACUUCCCCAGAGGCAGAGGCUUUUUCUACAAAAGGGUGGGAGCAUAAAAUGUAGGUGAGUCAAUUGCGUGUGGCCUUCAAGUAUUUCGUAUUGUAACAAUAUUAGAUCGGCAUCCAAACAAAGGUGCAUGUACGGUUCCUAAGGGAUACAAUUUUGUCCUAAUCAUCGAGAAAGAUUAAAUAAGUUGAUAGCGCGAUCUCGUACUAACACAUACUCUCUAAAUAUUGAAGAACUUGCAUGCGGCCUUCAAGCCACAACCGCGGUAUGAGUUCUGAUCUCAGACUUUGGUUUGGGGGCUGCUGGCCCCUUCGCGUCGACAAGGAAACUGUGGACGACAAUGGGUUUAGAAUUAGAAUAAAACGAAGACCCUAUCGAACAAAUAGAGGAAAGGGCGGAAAGGGGAAAAAGUAAAGUCUAAGCGACAUAUGGCACGAAAAGGAAAUCCAAUUUCGGUAAGACUUGAUCUGAAUCGUAGUUCAGAUCCAAGUCGGUUCAGUGAGGGCGACCGCGAAAGUCACCGAAUGGGUUCGGUCCGUCUUUUCCUGAUCUUUGUUUGUCCCCCCAAAAAAGGCGUGAGAGGACGUUGCAGAUGUCCGGGACGGACACGACUUCUUCUAACGCUAGAAGACCACAGGAAGAAACCCGGGACCAGAGCAUGUCGUGAAAGACGCACACGGGGCGGGCGUGCUUCGACCGUGUCUCCGGGGCACAGUUGAAUGUAGAUAUCAUGAACGCGAGGAUAAGGAUACCAGGCCGAGAAACCCGGGCAAGUACUCCCCUAAUGUGCCGAUCGCUAGCGCAUCCAGGGCCCCGGCGCCCAGCUCUGCUGGAGAGGCCGUCACUGAUCUGAAAAGUGCGUCUGCGGUUCGGAUAGACUGAUUCUGCGAACGCCUAGCCCCAGGAAUCAAUAAAAAAACAAGUGCUAAGUUUCAUUUCAGAUCAGUGAAUAAACCAAAAAAGAGACCUUUCUCGCUCGACGCCACACUAUGCUCCGCUUCAACAAAUGAGAGUUUUCGGUGGAACCGGUGAACCACGCGAGCUGGUUAGAUGCGUGGGGCAGAGGGCUCGUAGUACCUGAUAGCGCAGCUAUGCAGUGGAAGGGAAGGAGCCUAAAUCGACCCCCUUCUUUCUUUUUUAUUCAAAGACACAAAAGCAAGCACAGUACAAAGAGAUUGGACUCUCGGAUGAGACUAAGCAGCUACCGUUCCGACGCGCCCCUGACCCUAUCUUGAUUCAAACCGAAAACCCUCUCUAAGGUGGAGCCUAGUUGAAGCUGUCAUUCAAAGAAAAAAUGGGAAUCCAAAUCCACUUUUAGGGAUAUAGAUGAAGUCUCGCUCAGUAAAGAGAGUUGUAGAUUCGUAGAAGAGGAUCAGAGUACGCGCGCUACAAAAGGCAGCUAGCCAAUGAAAGUAAGUGGAAAGAAUAUAGUACUUUUGUACUGACCCCUCCGGGGCCCCCGGUUGUUUUGGCGCGCCCUACCCCAACGUUAGACUAUUGCCUUUUUAGCCUACGCUUGCUGCUUGCAGCAUGGAUUCGAUAGAUCUAUCGAAUCCAUGCUUCCCCCGCCCCGAAGCGAGACUCUAUCCAGAUCUCAAAGAAUAACGAGCUAGGCGGCCGGCGGGCAAAGAAAGGGGGCGGGGCGUUUACUUUAAAAUGACAACCGCCUGUUCCAGCAGCGGGGGCCUUGCACGAAAGCAAACCUACGAUUAAGUAGCAGUUGCUUUCGCUGAUGGGCCCAGUGAGGGGGGCAUUGUCCCUCAGUUCUUACCAACCUCAGGUGUGUACAUCUAACUUAUUAUCUUCUUUUUUCAUGCAAGCCUGACCUCAGCUGUCCAUUUCUUAUUCAUUCAGGGCGCCCCUAGUGGACUUGGCGGUGCUCCUUUCUCAAACCAGAACAACUCUGAACGUUAGGGAAAAUAAGGGAAGACCACCUGAGCGAACCGACCGAAGGGACUUUACUUAUCCGAACCGAACGUUAGCGGCUUAAGCUAAGCCUAUCACGAGCUGCGUUGCUGCUUGAUCGGCGGGGAGGAAGAUCUCAAAGUAUGGGGCAAAGGAUCAAGCGCUUUGACUUUGCUUUGUCCCCCGGGAUCCACCACAGGUUGGGUUUGAGAGCCGUGUGAUGGGUGACUAUCUAGCACGGUUCAGAGAGCACGUGUAUGUAGUCUGCGCUGGUGAAUGGAAGCCCCCGCCGCAAAAAAGAAGCGGCUCUUCCCACGGCUCUGUCACCAUUGACUCUAUUUAUUAUUAUGGUAAAUCAUUGUAUCAAGAUGUCAAUCUUAGAUCUUAUUUUAGUUCGAUACGUCCACCUACGAAACUCGCCUUUGGCUUUCGUCUCGGUAGGUGUAUUAUUCUACAUUUUCCCAAAAGGACAUUCAUUCAUUUCUUUCUUCCCGGGCGAUCACCACGACUAAAACGAAAACAAGACAAGAAAUCAAGACCCGUACUACAGGAAAAGGGCUGGUGGCCGACAUUUGGGAAAGUCGGGCCGAUCGGGUGUCUUCAUUCAAGCGAGGGUACAGAGGAAGAACGAAACGAAGUGAGAGGCCGGGGGGCAGGGAAAAGAGUCGAGUCGAUCGACCGGGAGAAGCAAAACGAAAUCCGGAUUUGGCCGAAAAAGAUGCAACGUUAUGGAUACCAUGACCGAUCACCAUCGAGAAAGAAGAAUUUUGAUAAAUCACUUCGGGUGAGCGGGGCCUUCAAGCGGCCUCAAUACGCCGGGGUUGUAAAUGACAUACCUUUCCUUAUGGGAAAUGCCGCCUCCUUACUAAAAAGGAAUAGAAUCAAGUUAUUUUUACCAAAGAAGUCCCGCUCUGACGGCCCGACGAGUCAUCUACUAAAAAGGACCCUCCCCGCUGUGCGCCCCUCCUUGAAUUAUUCGGUCAUGCAAUACUUUUUUAAUACUAAGAAUAAAAUGCAUUUCGACCCCGUCCUAAUUCUCAAUCAUUUCGUGGCACCGGGUGUGGCUGAACCAUCUACGAUGGGGGGAGCGAAGGGAGGAAGCUUAGAUAAGAGAAUACGCUCUCGCAUCGCUUUUUUUUUAGAAAGCUCUACCAGCGAGAAAAAGUGUUUGGCCCGAGCCAAAAAGAGGUUGAUCCACUUCAUUCGCCAAGCGAAUGAUCUUCGCUUCGCGGGAACAACAAAAACCACCAUAUCGCUCUUUCCUUUCUUCGGUGCUACCUUCUUUUUUCCAAGGGAUGGGGUUGGGGUGUAUAAUAACCCUUUUUUUGAGUAUGCCCGGGAACAACUCCUAGCUCAAUUUAGGAUCAAAUGUAGGAACCUCAUGGGUAAGGAUAAGGUAAUGGAAUUGAUAGAGAAAUUCAUAGACCUAGGUAGGAUAGGCAAAUUGAUAAAGGGAAUAGAGAUGAUGAUAGAGAUCAUACUGAGAAAGAGGAUAAUUCCGUACGGGUACAACUCUUAUUUGAACGAAGUGCAAAAAAUGCGAUCUUUUUUGUCUAAUAGAACAAACACUAAUACCUUAAUUGAGUCGGUAAAGAUCAAAUCUGUUUAUCAAAGUGCUUCUCUGAUUGCUCAAGACAUCUCUUUUCAACUGAGGAACAAUCCAAUCUCAUUUCGUUCCAUUUUUAGUAAAAUAGUGAAGGAUAUUCCAUUAAUAAUGCCAAAAGGGGUGGAGGGGAUACGUAUUUGUUGUUCUGGUCGAUUAGGGGGUGCGGAAAUAGCUAGAACUGAAUGCGGAAAGUAUGGAAAAACAUCUUGUAAUGUAUUUAACCAUAAAAUCGAUUAUGCUCCUGCGGAAGUAUCUACUCGUAACGGAAUUUCAGGUGUCAAAGUGCGGAUCUCAUAUAGUAAAAAUAAGAAGGGACGUGCUAUAUCCGAAACGUACGAAAUAUAGUAAAUAUUUUAAAUGCAGAUGUAGUAGGGGUCGCGAACCGGAUGGUACACAACUUGGUUUUGGAAGAUAUGGCACCAAAAGUUGUAGAGCUGGUCGUCUUUCAUAUCGAGCCAUUGAAGCAGCGCGUCGGGCUACAAUCGGACAAUUCCAUCGUGCUAUGAGCGGACAAUUCCGAAGAAAUUGUAAGAUAUGGGUAAGAGUUCUCGCAGAUCUUCCUAUUACGGGGAAACCCGCAGAAGUUCGAAUGGGAAGAGGAAAAGGAAAUCCGACGGGUUGGAUUGCUCGUGUGUCCACGGGACAAAUCCCAUUUGAAAUGGAUGGUGUGAGUUUGUCAAAUGCUCGACAAGCCGCUAGAUUAGCGGCGCAUAAACCAUGUUCGUCAACCAAGUUUGUUCAGUGGUCGUAACGUAAUUGGUUAGUGGGGAAAAACCGGGCCGGGACUCAAAAGAAUUUGGCGAAGUGUUUGUUCCUGAACGAGGGAAGUGGAAAGACAAAGAGGGAUAGGGAGCUCGCCUCCUUCUUUUUUGUAAUCGCCGAAAUUGUACGACGACCCUUCUUGUUCCAGGCAUACGACCCUGAGACGUGACGGUGUCACUUUUCCGGCCCGGUAAAGUGACAGUUAUAUAAAUAAGAAUAAGAAAGAGAAGCGUGAUGUUGUCGUGUUGUCAGCAAUCAAAUUCUCGUAAAUAGAUAGUACGGUUGCGUUGUUUCAAUUUCUGUUCGUACUCUGAUUGCUGUGGCUGCAGCUCGAUCUUGGCAAAUCUCUCAAAUGGAUGUCAAAAAUGCUUUCCUUCAUGGUGAUCUACAUGAGUUUUUUCUAUAUGCAGCCACCUCUGGGUAUUGAAGUCCCUGAUGGUCAUGUUUGUCGCCUUCGAAAGGCCCUCUAUGGGAAAAAAGCAACCACCUCGUGCUUGGUUUGAGCGGUUCAGCUCUGUGGUUCAAGCUGCUGGUUUCUCUUCUAGUGAGCAUGACCCUGCACUUUUCACUCAUACAUCUGACCGCGGUCGUACCUUGCUUCUUCUCUAUGUUGAUGAUAUGUUGAUCACUGGAGAUGAUCAGAAGUACAUUGCUUUUGUUAAGAAAAAGUUGAGUGAGCAAUUCAAGAUGUCAGAUUGAUUUUCUCUCAGUUAUUUUCUGGGAAUUGAGGUUGAUCAAACUAAUGAUGGUUACUAUCUCUCUCAGCAUCGCUAUACUCAGGAUUUGAUCUCACGCUCAGGUCUUACUGAUACACACACUGCCGCUACACCCAUGGAGCUCCAUCUCCAAUUGCGCCCUAGUGAUGGUACUCCUCUUGAGGGAUACCACUCGCUAUCGUCAUCUUGUAGGCAGCCUUGUGUACCUCACUGUGACCCGGCCUGACAUUGCUCAUGCAGUCCACAUUGUCAGUCAGUUUGUCAGUGCUCCUACUUCAGUUCAUUAUGAUCACUUACUUCGUGUUCUUCGGUACUUGAGAGGCACAUCAUCUCGCAGAUUGCACUAUGUGAAAGCUCUAAUCAACUUCAGCUUCAUGCUUAUUCUGACUCAACUUGGGCGAGUGAUCCUGUUGAUCGUCGCUCUGUCACCGGUUAUUGUCUCUUUCUUGGCACUUCUCUCAUUGCAUGUUUUUCCAAGAAACAAACAUUUCUCGUUCUAGUGCUGAAGCUGAGCUUCGUGCCAUUGCCACUGUCACGUCACAGCAGAGAUCGUAUGGCUUCGAUGGCUCCUGGCUGAUUUUGGAGUUUCGUGUGAUGCACCCACAUCUGUUCUUUGCGAUAGUACUGCCGCUAUUCAGAUUGCCAAUGAUCCAGUCAAGCAUGAACUAACCAAGCAUAUUGGUUUCGAUCACGUCUAUCCGAAGUCAAUAGAGCAAUUUAGAGCGUAGCGAAUAGCUAACCUUUCCUCGGGGAGGGAAGGGAGAUAUGAGCGUAGCGGUAUCUUUUGCUAAUGAAAUGAGAUUGGAUAUGAAUGUGGAAUUCAUUGAGUGGAGAGAUGAACUAAUCUAUACUCUGCCUGUCUUCCAUUUCUCUGAAGAUUUCGUUUACAACACAACAUCAAACUCCAAUUUCAUGAAUUGAUAGGUAAGGAUCGCUGUCGAACAGCUCUUCUUCAUUUCUUCUGGAAUUCUUUCUUCUAAGGUAGUAGGUAUCGGGUUUCCCUGUUCAUACUCCGAACAUGAGUUAAUAUACUCUUGUAGAGCAGAUCACUUAGGGCUUUAUACUGGUUCGACGACUGGGUUCUUGUUCCUUUCUCUUCUUUGUCUGUCCACUCCCUUUGUUUUCAACAGUCUUUGGAGCUUCUGAAGAUUCUGCCGCAAGAUCCAAGCGGUAUCGUCGGUGCACCACCGCGUCAACCAGCACCACAGCUUCCUACAACUGGGAGAGAGCCGCAGGGCACCCCCACCCACUCCUGUGUUUGAGGAAUUUCAUGAAUCUAAUGCUGAAGGGCGUGGAUGCCGAAGAUUUCUUUUCCUUGAUUUGAUGGCACGGAUGUUCGCAUCUGGGUUGACAAGUGCGAAACCCUCUUUAGGAUGUACCAAAUCACUGCACUGAGUGAGGUUUCAAGGCUCCGAACAGAGCUGUUACUGUUACAAAGUACAAGGAUCAGCUUUUCUUCCCUUCCGGCGAACAGAAAAGAGAGAUACGAAGGAGUAAUGACGAAAGGUUGAUUGUUCGUAUGUUCAGUGAUGGCGAGCCUUCAACCAAUAAAAAAUACCUUAAAGAAGAUGCGUAGGCCUGAAAUCAUGGUGCAAUGAAUAUCGUAGAUAGAGUGAUUUCGAUCUCAUAUAGCUAGCUUUCCUUUCAAAGUGAAACGAUUUUCCUUUUACGUUGAGAUAUUUGAAUUGGAUUUUCUUUCACCACUACUAUCGUAACGCACAGAAAACACUGACGUUUCCGCUCGCUUUCAACCACUGCCACUUUACCUGAGCACUGUGACGCAGUCGGUCAAGUAUUGAGUUUCUGCUAGUAUAUCAAGGACUUAUGAGAACUGAAAAGAAAAAAACUAAAAAAGGAAUUCUCAUAGUUCAUUGAAUUAAGGGAGGACCAUUCGUGGGGGGUUCGUGGAAGAGUUGGGUUCGAUUCCCUUUAUACGCGAUGUGGCGAAAAAGACUGAUUCAACGAAAUAUGCCAUGCCAGCAUUAAGAUUUAAAACGUGUCGUCUACUUCCAGGAAAUGUUCGGAACAGAGAACUUUCUCUAAUCCAACGCCGUAUUCUCCGAAGAUUGAGGAACAAGAGGAGAUCCAUUAAAAGAAAUCUUUCUCGGAGAGAAAAUCUAAACAGUAACAUCAAAUCACAAACUACACGAAAGUUGUCUCUUUAUUAUGGGGAUUUACCCAUAAGGGAGAUGCACAGAGGAAGAGAACGAACUUCAUAUAUCCCUUUUUUACUCAAUCAAGAAACAAGAUCGGACGUGAUUCCGGUUCGUCUCCAUUUUAGUGACACUCUUCCUCAAGCAAGGCAGCCGAUAAGUCAUCGAAGGGUUUGUUUGAAUAAUGGACUGGUAACCAUUACUCAUUUGAAAGUUUCCCACGGUGAUCUAAUAUCUUUUAAAGAAAAUGACGCGAGAACCCGCGGUUUUGAAAUAAGGAGAUCUUUCUAUAUCGACAUAUCAGUUGGAAAAAUCAUAGGCAAAUUCCUAUCGGCCAUAUCAGUUGGAAAAAGAAGAGGCAAAUUCCUACUGGCCAGAAUCUGGAGAAGAACAAAAACAGAAUGGUUCCGCUUACUCACAACUCAGAGGGGAUGCCGCUUACUACUCAAAUCCUUGUUUUUGCAAGAGUUGCGUUCUUAUAUGCAAGAAGAAUACUUUGAAAGAACAAAGAAGUUUGGAUCCGCAAAAGUAUGCUUAGGCAGUUCCUUCGCUGAGCACAACAGAAUGAAGAGGAAUUUGUUUCAUUUCAAAUACUUCUUCUUAUUGAAAAGAGGGAAGGAGAAAAACCGAAAUCUUCCUACUCGAACAAUAAGUCCUUUUGUUUACAAGUCUUCUUUAUAUAGUAAUUCGACCUAUUGCUCCGGAUCCCCGUUUACUAGGAAGAUAAGAAUCAAAAGGAUCGAACUACCUACUCAUUAUUCGGAGGUGAAUCAUAGAACACUAAAAGCUGUGGUAUCUUAUGGACCUAACAUAGGUCACAUCCCUCACGACAUAAGAUUGAAAGAUCCAAACCUUCCUCUUCGGAGCGGAAACGGACGUGGCCAAAACAUAUAAAAAAAGAUCGGCCUAGUCGCUCAUAGGGACAUAUCUAUCCGGAUAGAGGAUAGUCUAGAUCAAUUUGGAGAAAAAUCUCUCUCUAUAUAGAUAGGUAUCUCUGUGGAUAGAGAUAAAGAUAGGGAUCCCUAUAAAUCGAAAUAUAUGGAAAAAGUGCACUUUUUGACUACUACUACUAUUUCUUAGACUUUUUCAAGGAAACAUCGUUUUUUCGAUUUUGACUGAAUUGGUCGGAGCGUAGACGAGCAAGCAGAGCCCAGGAAAGAGGUCAGAUCGUCAUAGAGCAGUCGACUAUAAGUAUAAGACUGCUGGCCUGAGAGAAGGCAGUCUCUCUCGGGAAACAUGGCCCAAUUUCUCUUCUUUCUUUUCACACGGGCAACAAUUGGGAAUAAAACAGACCAUGAACAUGAGUUUAAAAUGUAAAAAAAAGGGAAGAGUGCAUUCUCCACUUUCUUAUCUCGAAAAUGCGUAAUAUAGUGAUGUCAUGUGUCUGUUUCUCUGAAAAGGUGGGUUGGCCCUUAGGGCAAACAGUAGUGCCAGGUUCCAUUGUGGAACGGUCGUUUGCCGGUGACCUUUGUCCGCUGUAGUACGAGUGACUGGCGCAUCGCAUCCAAUCUCUCAUGUCAAUGAGUCAGUUUGAAUGGAAACUUGAAUUGAGAGAAAAGGUGUGCUACGCUUCUUCAUUCUCGUAACUCAAUCAAUAUCAAGAACAUAAAGAGUUUGUAUAGAGAUGGAUUUCUCUUCAGUUCCAAUACUUUUUUUUGAAUGGCUCGUGUUGCGCUAGUGACACGAGGGUAAAACGCUCGAGUUGGCUUGCUGACUCGAGGAGGGAAAGGCUCCAUUUGCUUUAGUGAAUGGAGGAAGAAACAACCAUAGUAACUAUCUAUGAAAUUGAUUGAUGGAUAUGAGAGUGGUGCAAGACCGGGACAGAGGAACCAUAGGAAUGUUAUGUCAGGUUCCUUGCUCACUUCUCAAGCCCAAUAUCAUUCCUCCAACUCGGACUUUCAUGCUAUAAUUAAGAACCCCCCUAAACAAUGACAGCGUACCGAGCGGGCCCUACGUCUAUCGGGGAGCUCAAAUCCUCACUAGAGUGAGGCACGUCUCGAUCAAUACAUCUCGAAUCUAAAGAGAGAAUGUUAUUGUUAUGCUGUCCCCACUCUGGAGUAUGAUUGACCAUAUCAUCCAGCGAGUGGUCUUAAGCGCUCAGUGCAUCCAUACUGAACUCGAAUGUGCGCGCUUCGGAAGAGAAAGUAAUGCGAACUACUAACUGUUAUGCCGGCUUGGCCCGAUCAAGACUUCUAUCCCUCAGAAACUGUCUCGCGUCUUAUCCGUGUGCGCGGUUGAGGAAAUUGGACUUCGUAUUCUUCCUGGGUCUGCCUCGUGGGCCGACGUCGUCUUGUGUUGUAAUCGGGGCACGAGUAUUCGAAGUAGAAGCGCAAACAUUCCCCCUUCCUUGAGAAAGCGCUUGACCCCAAGCCGGUGCAUAAGGAAAACGAGUCUUCAGGUCGAUGAGGUCCUCCCAAGUAUUGUCCAGUGCCAUCGACUCGGACCAGCGAAUCAAGCCUUGUUCCAGGACUUGAUCUCCCUUUAUUACUUAUACCAACGACUCACCAAAACUUGCAUAGGGACAGAGGGAUUGUCAGUCUCAGAUGGUAAACGAGAGGAUACCUGAGACAGUGGGCGGGGGAACAACACGUCGAAGCUUAGAGACGUGAAAAAUACAGGGUGCACUUGAGAAGUUGAAGGUAGCUCCCGGUGUUAAUAUGGAACAGCACCAACACGUGCUAGAAUCUUGUAAGGCCCAAAGUAUCGGAAGGAAGGGUUGUGGUUAGCCCGCUGUGCCACCGAGCUUUGAGAGCAUAUGGCUUUAACUUUAAGAAAACCAUAUCGCCGACAUGGAAGGAGCGAUCAGAAAGCCUUUGUCAGCUUGCGUUUUCAUCUGUUGGUUAGCUCUGUUGAGGUGCAAUUUCAGGUUAUCAGUCAUGGCACGGCGCUCCUGCAGCCAACUCUGAACGUCAGAAAUAGGCGGCUCCUCUGUAUCCAUAACUUCAAUGACCCACAACCUUUGUUCAUAUCCAUAAAGCAUUUUGAGAAUGGAAAAAAUCCAACAAACGAAGGAUAGGUAGUGCUCAAUGCUCUGCCAAAGAAAGUCAUUUAGACCAUUUCUGCGGGCAAGAAUGCACAAAACAACGCAAGUAAAUAUCAAGCAAGGCAUUGAUUCACUCCUUCGGUUUGACCUUCUGUUUGAGGGUUCUUGCCUUGUCCGGGUCUUUUGUUUGAGACGACUGAUUUGGGUUGUUCUCGGCCUGGAGGAGAAGACUCGCCUGCACUCAGGUACGCUGGAUCGGCAGGAGAUGGAGUACCUUCGGAUCCAAGAAAUCUUUCACUUCAAUAAAGAAGAAGUUGCCGCUUUUGAGCUCUUGCUCUAUCCAAUGUAGACCAAAUGCACCAGGGCAAGCUCGGCUAAAAGGUCAGUCGGGGAGGGAGUUAUAGGCCGACUUGUGGGGAAAUCUCUCGUUAACCCACUCCAUCCAAAACCUGUAGAUUCGCAUGAAGUUCCGUCAGUAGUUUAGGUCGGGAUGGGGAAUAGGGCUGGAUCCGCUAAAGUGAAUGUUCACCGGUGUCUUUCCGACCAUCCAAAGCCGUAAAUAAAAGGCUCAUGCUGCGUUUCCCUCAACAUCCACCCAGAGGGGGGCUCGCUCUAGAAACCAUUGCUGUCUGCAUAAGACAAUACAUACGGCGAAGUCAAUGCAUCGCUUCGUAUCCCGGAUAAGGACUCCGCUUAAGUUAAAUAAGGGAGCUUUCUAGGCCCAUUCACUCUACUUAAUACUUCGCACCUUGGUCGUCUGGACCGUGCCCCGGGAGCGCCAAGGUGAUCAAUGAUAGCAAUGUUGAAUAUGAUGUUGUGCCUAUUGAAAUAACAUGGCGGGGGGAAACAAAGGAGAUACUGUCUGUGGUACGAUCGGUCCGUAGCGGGAAUAUUAUGAGCCGAGGUAGCUAGGGGCAAUCAGCGUUGUAAGAGCAGGCAUCCCCGGUAAGGAGAACUGGAGACCGGACCAGAUGUCAUUAAUGAAAAGAAGCGAGGUCUACGGUAGAGGAAGGCUAAAGCUUCAAGAGCGCCCUGUCACUAGACCAACAUAAAUGGAACUUAUCCAAGACUCAACUCAAAAGAGCAACUCUGUGGAUAAGUAUACCCGACUUGAAAAGAUGUCUCUGCACCGACUUCCUCCAUAUCUAUCCCUUUUCGGAACCAAGGUGAACUAAAGAAGCAAGACGAAGCGAGCCCACAUCUAGAGACAUAGUAGUACAAGCAAGGGGAUGGUUAAGCGGCGAAGCCAACAAGGUGAUCCGCAGUAAGCUCUGGCUGAAAUGAGUGGACGAAGUUCGGCUACCGCCAGGUGAUCCAUUAUCCAGUGCCGAUGUCGGAUCUGCCAGCUCUUCCCAUUAAUCGAUCAACUAAUUUAAAAAGUGAAUUAAGAGGUGGAUGAGCAUUUUCAACAUAGUUUGGGUCAGCUGAGGCUGGUGGAUGAGAUGACUCCCCUGUGACUAAUUGAAAAUAGGAUUUACCAUAACUUAAUGCUCCCGCUUCGAUCACCAAGUCAAGAUUGAGAUGCUUCAGGAUAGAUAUCUUAGAAUGGUUGACUUCUUGCUCUUGCGGAAGGAAGGUUAUGUCCAAACUCAUUUCGUAUUCGAUAACCCAGCCGUACAAGAAAGAGGGUACUAGUUAGGUUGGCCUUAGAUACUUGCUUCUUUUCUGGUCAAUCAAGAUCGUAGCAUAGACGCUUACUAUCUCCUCCAUCUAAGGAAGAUGAGGUUGAUGGUAGUAGCCUAAGCGCUAAGAAGCUUAAAUCAUGCUACUUCAACUAUAUGCUUAAUAGGUCGAUAAGCUUUGAUUUGAAAAGGGGCUUAAGUCAUCGGUUCCAAUCCGAAUAAGGGCUUUUCUUGUGGUAUGGUUUCAAUUAGCCUUCGAGUCUUCUAUUCCGGCUAAGUCCCCUAUUGGUCCAGCCAGUAUUCUAUUUUCUUCCUAAUAUCCAUCCUUUGUUGUCAGCCUGAAAGUGGUCUAAAUCUGCGCUUCCCACUCCGUAAGCAUUUCUUAAGGAUUCCAAUCGGUAUAUCUCAUUCGAUUCGGGAAUCCCUUUGGCUGUCUGCUAGUCGACCUAUGCCCGAUCAUUCAGUUUGCGAUUUCUCUCUCUCUUUAAUACGCAAUUCUCUUCGAUAAGAAGGGUUCUCUUGUGUUCCAGGGUUGAUUAAGCGUCUGGUGGAACAGGGAUACAUUGUGUGAGGCCAAAUUGCCUGACGAAUUGAUGAAUAUGGCUCAAUAUAGACUGGUCCAGGUAUACCGGUCAGUCUUGAGCCACCAGGAUAGCCUUCCACAUAUCCUGUUCCUCCCUUGAGUAGUAACUCUUUUCUAACCUUAGAAUCCUGAACCAAUUUGCUCCAAAGACUCUGUCAUUGAAAGGAGUCCAUAGGUUGAUAAAAUAGGUUUUCAUGAAAACCACACGUAGAUAGAAAAGGUAAGAGUUACACGUGCCAGAAGCGAGGAAUACCGCUCGGAAGCCCGAUUGAACCUGUCCUCAUUCACUGCUAUCUCCAUAUAUUGGAUGCCAAGCUUGAAAGGGUAAUGGUCCGAGAGGAUGGGGCCGUAGUCUUCUAUUACGCACGCUACGCAGACGAUAUGGUCUUCGGCUUACCGAGAGGGGAUAAGUCCACGCGAGUCACCCAGGGUCUCAAAAAGGUCUUAGCUAGAGUCCUUAGGGAGCUCCUACAGGGCUUCACUUCUACUGAAAUUUCCAGAAAACAACCGGGGAGGCUACAAAUUAUCGGCUUGCCCCUGUCUCUGAAAAGUGAAGGUCAGCUCCACGUGGGUAUUCCAUCCAAACGAUGGGAGAAGAGGAUGACACUUGUUCGUAUUGAAAACCGGAGACGAAGGGAAAGAGGUUUGAUUGGAACAUGUUCUACAAGAACUCCUGUGUAGAACACGCCCGUAUCUAUUCUAUGGGCUGGCUUCAGGCCAACCCUACUGCUGAAGUAGAAAGCAUCAUAUUCCGGUUUUUCCAACACUUGAUCAGGAACCGGGCGCAGAAAUUCCUUGAAGAGAAGGGGAUGCCUACAACCAAUGCCUAAAUAAAGGCAUAUGUCGAAAAGUGCAACUACUAAUAGAUUCAGUAAAGGAAGGCCCGGAACGGGCUGAGCUACUGCCCGAAAUAGAAGAGGACGACUAGAGUAGAGGAGCCUAAUUCCAAUCCAAACAAUUGACGAGGGAGUCUAAUUAUUUUUCCGUUCUUGAUUGUUUCAAUUGCACUUUCUUCAUUUACGGGUUGCUUGGAAAGUGCGAUAGUUACGGCGCUUGGAGUAUACGGAUUGAAUUCUUCCUUCUUCUAUAGGUCUUUCUGGGCGGCGAGGCGGAAAAAAGGUGUAGAGAGGGAGAAGGUACAUAAAAAAAAACGAUUUAUAAGGUAGAAAAGAGGCAUCCACCAGUCAUUGAGAACAGCUAAUCCCGGAAUUAGCAGGUCGGUAUGCGAAGAGAAGAGCCCAGCUUGUAGCUGUAGAAUUGGAAACGCUGGCUAGAUAUAUAUCUAUAAAGUACUCUAUAAAAAGGAAGAGGUCACUAUCGCUUUUCCCCUAAAGACAGUGUUUCUUCAAAAGAAUUCCCUGCCUCAUCAGGGUCUUGCUUCGAUAAAGGUUUCGCUUCUCUUGGCCCCAAGUACCACAAGCCAGCCUUUUUACCUCGAAUAUAUUAUGAAUGACUUCCUUUGCCGGAUUGGUGAAUGGAAAAGAUCAUCAGUCAACAAGGGCAGACGUUAGGUACUCUUUUCCUGUAGUAAAGGUCAUUUGCACAGCCAUUUUCUCACUCCCUGCUGCAUCAUUUCUAUAUAUGUGACAUGUAAGCUCAUCUCGCCGAUACUACUAUAAGAUUUUUACUGACCCUAUCCGAUCAAGGCACUCAUUCCUGCUGCCAUUGCUAUCUAUUUGACUUCCCAAGUCAAUGUAAAAAGCCCCACAGGUGGGUGAUCCGGAUCCAUUGCUGCACCGCCCUAACCAAAGAAGAAUUCCCUGCCCCCAUAUCCGGCUAUCAGAAAAGAGAAGGAACUACCCGCGGGUACUAUUACGACAGGGAAAGACUGGCUCAUUUUUAGAAAAGUGAAUGCAGCUCCCCCGGCCAGGGGUCUUUAUUCUUAGGUCAAUGCACCGAAACGUCCACCUUCCAUCUGCCCCGGCAGAAAGAUAAGUUCCAUCUUGCCAAUUUGGUCUGCAAGUAGAGAGUUGUAUGAGGCUUCAGCCCUAGAAGCAUGAGAAAAGAAAACCCAGGAGCCUUCAGAGAAGAAUGCCCACUUCCCCCACUACUGAAAUAUGAACCCUUUCGAACUCGACCUUUACUUAAGUGAGUAUAGUAUCUUGCAAGUUCACCCUAAUUAAGAUAACAACAUCCGCCAUCCUCUAGGCAACCCACAGCUGGCACCAUCCCCUAUAGGGCAGGGCUUAUUAACUCUGUUAAUUGCUCCUCAUUCAUCCAUUAUAAGCUGAAAGCGGUAUGGCUAUGUAUCCCUUUGCUUAGAUCCUUUGAUACUGCAGUUGGGGAUGGAGAGGCUAUAGGAAUUCUUCAAUAUAGCAUUAUUCGUUCCUGUGACCCCUUGUCCCGUAGGUUUGGUUUACCUUGAGCGCAUAGAAAUGAAAGAAUCCACAUUCCAUCAUUCCUUCAGCGAGCAUCUUUAUUCACAAGGACAAGUGUUUCCUUCAAUCGGUGUGCGCCACUGGAUCAGGCUCCUUAAAUUCAGGCGCAAUUAGAACCAGUUGCUGGAAUAGGUGUUUUGGCCGGGUCACCAAUGCAAGGAAGGAGGCAAAGAAGGUUGUGGUUACAUGGACUCUAGGGAAGCGGAUCCUGACAAAACAACUUGCUCAGAAUACGCUUUACCGCCAACUGAUAAGUAGUUUCUAGCUGCAAGCAAAUAAGGCAGGCAAUCUAUAAAAUAAAAUAUCAUACAAAAUUACUCCACUAUUGCCUUUUGUAAAGACUCGGUAUCUGCCGCCUCUGCUUUGGCAGCUUGUUCAGCUUCAUACUCGGUGUAAGUCCUCUCAUUUGAUGGUAUUGUGUACCUAACGCUAGUUUACUAGCGGCUAGUUUUUGUUUAGAGACGGAUCUAUUGCGUUUCUUGAUCCGCUGAAAUAGGCCCGCGUGCGGGUGGCAUGAGGAAGAAGUCAGAGCCUAUCAGGCCCAAGCGAAGCUUUGCAGCGAGAGUAGUCAAAGAUCGGAUAGAUUCGAACCGCAAUUGCUAAGGCUAUGCCAGCUCAAAUCCUGUAACGAGCAAUCAUCAACGGCUUCCCUAAAUGCCGCCAUCCGCCAUUCCGCACGCUCUGUGACACUGAAAUGUUCACUUGCAUGGAGGGUUUGUUUCGUUGAAGUCACCCAUGCAUAGCCAUGGCAACUCAAUCGACAUGUUCUAUAUAUGCAAUCGCAGAGGCGAAGUAUUAUUGUCAGCCUGGACUCGACACCCAGGGCUGUGCCGAUCCGCUUGUCCCUCUAGCUCGUAUUAUAAAAAGCUGUAUUUCUAUGUAGCACAAGUGACUUACCAUCCUACCAAGGAUCCCUAGGAUUUCCACACUCAAUAAAUCGAAUCAAUUUAUUCUAGUGGUUGGUGAGGCGGGUAGCGCCGAUCGGUAUUCUAUAUCAGCGGACCCAACCCUCCCUUGCAUCUAAGGCACAUUUCAUCUCUGGGCCCGCCCCCAACAGAUACCGGUACCGGCCAUGAAGGCUUCGCCCUUCUCAAGUGCAAGAAUGAACAAUAUCUUACAUAAAGAACAAGAGCACGAGUUGCGUCAAAUGACCAAAAACAGUCUAUCGAAAAGAGAAACUUGCCACUCAGCAGGCAGGGGCACUCACUAUCCAAAAUCGGUAGACAGCAAGCAAGAGAUGGAGCUUCUGCUAGGCCUGGUUAUCCCGAAUCCUUUCCGCCCCUUCGGUUUGAGGUUAUGCUUUGGCCUACCUAAAACUUGUGCUUCUAUAGUGUGAUUCAUUACGGUGCUCUCUCCCAAUAACAGAUAGCUCUAAUAGGGCAAUAGUGGAGGAAAGUCUUCAUGAAAAAGAUGGACUUGUUACUUUUGAAUGAUAAACUUAUUCGGGCAGCUGGGAAAGAAGAAGGAUGACUUUAGUCAAAUUAAUGAAGCGAUCCCGCGGAUACAGAAGUUGUGUUUGAAGUAUGAGCUGCUGCUGCUGCUGAAAACAACAUUUUUGCAUGGUUCUUAGCUCAUAGUGUGUGUGGGUGAUUUCCAUGAAAUAGAUACCAUUGACACAUUGAUUAUACCGAGUAUGCCCCUCGGCAUGAUCUUUCGUUUAGCCCACUGUAGAAGAUGAUCACACUUUGGAAGAGAGACAGUCGCUGUUCGACCUCAAGAAUUCCUGGAUAAUACGAGGGCUGAAAGCCUUCAUCGACAAGAGGACAUGGUUGCAUGACCGUGGCUCAAAACUAACAUUAAUAUUGGCUUACUCGUACUCUGGAGAAGGAUCUGUGCCCUUUUUGAUAGCCGAGAGGUAAGUAGGCCAUUGAAGCCUUAAUUAAGCCUGUAUUCUUCUAUCUACGAUAUUCUAUCCAUGAAAGGGAGAAGCUCAAGUCGAAGUGUGUACCAAUAGUAGAAGCAAGAAGCGUAGGUCUUUUUCGGCCACCGAGGACACAUGCGCCAGGAAGAAAAGCAUGAUCGUAUACGGAAACUGGAGCUAGAUCGUACAGAUCGUAAAAUUCACCAUGAAAGAUGCCUUAUGACCUAAACCUCACACAAGCUAAUGAAAAUGACUAUCUAUUUUGACAGGCGGGACUGAACUAGUACGAAAAUUGACCCUUAGGUUUGUCUUGGUCAACGGGACCGCAUAACGAUUAUGCUUUGAAAACGGCUCUGGGUCCGUCAGGAUUAUGAGAAGUUGUACUCAGUAGGGCUCUUUUGGAGAAGUUGAGUAGCACCCUCGUAUUCUAGUUUGUGAGUAAUCUGAAAAGGAAAGGCUGCUGGAGGGAAGGAUAGAAUGGUUCAGUGGGAUUUAGAAGGUAUGCCUUUUUCUUCUUAUUUACUGGCUCGGACACAGGAAUUCUCGAGGAAGAAAAGCAAAUGUCAUUUCUCAAUUGUCACCGCCUGGCAGAAAAGCUUUUCUUUCUUCCUACUACAUACGAUAUUCAAGUGCCCGUUUUCCUUGUUCACAUGAGGUGAACGUCCAUGCAGAGGAUACUUGGAAUACCACCCUUAGCCCCGUCCGUCCGUUGGAAUCGAUGGCUUAAAACGAGUUCUUCUAGCUUAGCUCAGCAGAAGCAAAGGACGAGCCGAAACUCUACCCACGAGGCUUGCUAUCAACCAUCAUGCCGAGGAUCUAAAUCCGUCCUAUCGGAUGAGGAGAGCAAGAGGGAUUGCACGACGAAGUAGAUCUGCACGUGGAAAGAAAGGGGUCAAGCGGAUACACGAUUCCAAAUUACUCCUUUCCGGCCAAGAAGAGAGGAUCUACAGGGUACAACGUAAAGUGUUUUGAUCGCAUUGGAAAAGACUAUCCAUACCGACCUAGAGUCGUCAGCCAUCGCACAAGCAGGCAAGCCAAGUUCCGAUACAAUUAGAGAGAAGCCAGCCUUUGGUAUAGAAGCCAUCCAUCAGUCUAUCAUUGUCAAGUGACUCAUCGCCCGUGGGACUUAGAAAUGAUUGAUUCGAAACCGACCUGGACUCUUUCUUUUUUGGCAUGGAAUUCUUAAAAUGCAUAUUAAAAGUGAAAUAGUUGAUGUGAUGGAUGUGCCCGGUAUCGAUCAAUGAAACAUCGGCUCGACGCAGGAUUUCAAUAGAACGAAAAACCUCGUAAGUAGUAGUAAUUGAAAGCCCUGGGACUGCAACCGGAACUACCCGAUCCGCUGAAAUACGAUACGAAGGAAGAAAGCUCAAUACAGGUUCGAAGCUUCAAACAGAGCCAGCGAAUCCACGCAUGGACAGAUCGAGGUAGCAACACCACUUUAGGAGAUUAAACAAAUGUUCAGUGCUCUAGUGAGGAUUGAAGUUCUAAAUAAAGAAAUUGGCUUUUGAUAGGCUGGAAUCGGAUCAUUGUGCAAUGUUAUGUUUUUCAAUCCAAAACUGAUUCGUUUCGUUGGUAGAACCCACGCCAACUCUUUUCUCUAAAUAAUAGAGAGAUCUUUUGAUAGAAGUUUGACUUCUAUCAAUGCAAUGAAAGAACUAUCCCUUCCUAUUUGUUUGUCCUAAUGAGACAAAAAAGAGCCUCCUUCUUUACCACUUUAGGGGAUGGGGGUGAAGGGGGGUUUACAUACAACCGGGGCAAAGUGGUUUAUGAUUGAAUCUCAGAGGCAUUCUUAUCAUUUGGUAGAUCCAAGUCCAUGGCCUAUUUCGGGUUCACUCGGAGCUUUGGCAACCACCGUAGGAGGUGUGAUGUACAUGCACUCAUUUCAAGGGGGUGCAACACUUCUCAGUUUGGGCCUAAUAUUUCUCCUUUAUACCAUGUUCGUAUGGUGGCGGGAUGUUCUACGUGAAUCCACGUUGGAAGGGCAUCAUACAAAAGCUGUACAAUUAGGACCUCGAUAUGGUUCUAUUCUCUUCAUAGUCUCGGAGGUUAUGCUCCUUUUUGCUUUUUUUUGGGCUUCUUCUCAUUCUUCUUUGGCACCUACGGUAGAGAUCGGAGGUAUUUGGCCCCCAAAAGGGAUUGGGGUUUUAGAUCCUUGGGAAAUCCCUCUUCUUAAUACCCCUAUUCUCCCUUCAUCCGGAGCUGCCGUAACUUGGGCUCAUCAUGCUAUACUCGCGGGGAAGGAAAAACGAGCAGUUUACGCUUUAGUAGCAACCGUUUCACUGGCUCUAGUAUCCACUGGCUUUCAAGGAAUGGAAUAUUACCAAGCACCCUCCACUAUUUCGGAUAGUAUUUAUGGUUCUACCUUUUUCUUAGCAACUGGCUUUCAUGGUUUUCAUGUGAUUAUAGGUACUCUUUUCUUGAUCGUAUGUGGUAUUCGCCAAUAUCUUGGUCAUCUGACCAAGAAGCAUCACGUUGGCUUUGAAGCAGCUGCAUGGUACUGGCAUUUUGUAGACGUGGUUCGGUUAUUUCCAUUUGUCUCUAUCUAUUGGUGGGGAGGUAUAUGAAAGAAGGGAACGAAUAAGUGGAUUGAGGAAUAAAAGCUCGAAGACAAAGAGAACUUCUCCGGGUGACAGGACCACCCCGGCAGCGUGGCUUCUCUGCCGAGCAGGAAGCCACAAAAAGCAUUGUGCUCUUGUAACUGAUCUUUUAGUAGGCGAAGUUGCCGAAUUCUGAAAUCACUACAGGCACAGUGCAGGAAAUUGUGAGUCCUAAAAAACAGAUGCCCCAUGAUCAUUGACUUACAUCACGAUAUCUUUUUCUUCCUCAUUCUUAUUUUGGUUUUCGUAUCACGGAUGUUGGUUCGCGCUUUAUGGCAUUUCAACGAGCAAACUAAUCCAAUCCCGCAAAGGGCGGAUCUCGACGUUCUCGUCAUGGCCAAAGCGCCUAACGAGGGUGACUUUCCCCUAGACCAACCUCCCGUUGGCGGCUUGCCUGACCUCCGCGAGGAAAUAGCCAGGUCUGCCCCUCAUGAAGCAAUUCUGUCGGAGCUAAGCUCCCGCGUCGAGACAAUUUUCGAGGAAGUAGGAACCCAGGUUCCUUUAGAGGAAGGGCAGUCUUUGCGCGAUUUCACACAAACUCAGGUCUUAUGGGAUGGAGAGGGCGAGGGUGAAGAUACUCUUCAGGAUAUCUUUCGAGCCUACCUGGAAGAGGGAGAGGAAAGCGAGUUCGUUAGAACCGCCGCGAAUCUGGCGAGAAAAUAUCGUCACGCGGAGCUAGGAGAGCCUGAGACGCCAGAUCCCGAGGAUCCCGUGGUCGAGCCUGAGGCUCAUUCCAUGAAAUCCCUUGAAGGCACAGAAGCAAAUGAUGGGGUUAAGGAGGCAGGCCCGUCUUCUUCGCGGAAGCGUAAAAGGUGGGAUGAUGAUUCGGGGUCCGAAGAUGAUGAUUCGGGGGGAUCUGGGGUUUCUCCGGAUCCUGUUGAGAUCAUUUACGAAGGGGACGCACAAACCUGUCCCGCAGAUGUAGAUAAGAUGCGGAGUAGGUAUCCAUCUUUGCAAAUCGAGAUACCGAGGCCUCCUAUACCUGUAGGGUAGAGGGGGGAUAGAAGAGAGGGUAUGUGGGCUUCUAUCAAAUAGUGAAGACCCGGGAACGACAGUCGCUCGACGUAAGGAGAGGAACGAAAUAUCAAUAGAGGCACGAAAACUGCUGGGUAUGAAAUUUGGGUAGGGUUGGCAGGGAAAGUCCAACUGACACUUUCUUUGAUGCCCUUUUUUCUCCAACUGGCUCAGAGAUUGCAUUUGCCCUUAACCUCCUUUGAAUCCAUCGUUUAGACCCUCUCAAUUGGUAUUGGCAUUGGCUCGAGAGCAAGGACCUUAUUUGAUCGCUUAGAACUUGAUGGAAGGAAACUCACUCGCUCGAGAUAUGCUUAAGCUAGCUCAGGAAGAGUACUAAUUUUAUAUGCCUUAAAGAGGGGAUUCAAAGAACAUUUAAGUUUGAAGUGAAAACAAAACAAUAACUAAAAAAAUUGACUGAGGAACUAUCUAAUACAACUAUUACUUUCGAGGACAAGAAGGAUGCUCUAUAUCUUUUUCCAAUCCUGGCAAAGGGAAAGCCAGUAGAGUAUGCCUUGGUUUAAGAGAGGAGCUCAGGUCCAUCUUGUGCUCACAAUACAUCUUAUUUAGCAGGACAUCUUGGGCUCUUUAGAGAAAGGCGAAGUCUCUACUUGUUAACCAUGGAUGCCUGUUAUAUUUACUUAUAGAGUGAAGAACAAGCCCACUUUCCAUAUCCCUUUCGUCCGGAUGAUCGAUUGCCUCAUUCUUCUUCGAAAAUAAGUGCAUUUGGCCAUUGUGUUUUUCCAACUUUCGUAAUAGAUCUGGGCAUGCAUGGUUUUCAAUAGAUAACCCUAGGCCUUCUUCGUUUCCCCACGGGCAUUCACUUCUCUUCAAGCUCGGGAUUAGCGAAACAUGGAUCCGAUGCCCAUCUCUUUUUCCACUUUGCAAGGCUGAGAGACUUUACCAAUUGAUAAAAAAAAGCAUGAGCAGGAUCAGCAGAGGCAAAAUCGAAUAAAAUGGCUUAUUUGCACCUUUCUUUGGUAGGCAACGAAUCUCACGGAAUGUGGGAAUCUUUUACAGAUGUGAAUUCUCGCUUUAACGCUUCGAUAACAUACUUAGAAUCAGGUAUCUUCGGGACCGGGGCUCGCCCUCAACAGAUAUUGUCUUUGCUUCCGCUGAUGUCGCGUCAAUUGCCCGAGGGAGCAUAACACUGCAGGCCGCAAUGAACAUGCCCGCCGCAUCUCGGAUAAUUGCUCCAGUUGCGCCAAUUCCAGUAUCCGAGACAGAAAGCAGCAUCCACGUGAACUUUGACUGUUCAUAAUAUGGGAAAUUCCGAGGUGAAGGAUGCCUGCUCAGGUCAUGAUAUCACUGAUCCAAACUACCAAAUCUGAAUCCUGACUAGUUAGCGAAUCGUGUGCUCUGUGCGAAUGUCUUUAUUAGUCUAUUUCAUUUAAGCCCAAAGGAUCUUCGAAUACCGACUGGUCGUCCCAAUCCAAUCUCCCAUCUGCUUAUUCCAAUUUUUCCUAUUCCUAGCGAAUCAAAUGAGAUUUCUGUUCUUCCAUCAAGAGGAGAUAGUUAUAGUUAUCGAUAAAGCUAAAAAAAACCUGUUGACAUCGAUAAAGCUAAAAAAAACCUGUUGACAUAGAAUGCAAUCGAAAUAGAGACAACUAGGCGAAAAAAAGACCGAAAACAAUAAGAAACUUCUACUCCCUAGGUGGUUAUUUGCCGCAUAAGACAGCGGUGGAAGCUGAAGGAAAGAGUGGGCUUUGAAUCUAGGUAUGCUUUCUAAGGAUUGCGCUGCGCCUAGCCUACCUUUACGAACAUACCUCUGUCUUUCAAACAAAGCCCUGUGUGUGGAACUACUUAUAUUUGUUUUCUAAUUGCUUUUAUCGGGCCAUCGAGAAGUCAGUCAGCGGUUGGCUUGAGUCCUCAAGUUGGUCUUUAAGACUUAGCAGGGCCCUACACACAGUACACCUUAGUAGAAGGUAGAUUUCUCUCACCCUAUGUGCAAUCAAGCUCAGAGACUUGAGCCGCAGAAUCCCUUAUUUCUUUUCUUUCUCAUCGAUCGAAAAAGGAUGAACUAAAAUGACUUGAUUCGAAGCCACUUCUGACUUGGAUUGAUGAAACGAGAAGAUUAUUGGAUUGGAUUGUUGGUCUUUCACUAAUGGAGCAUCUCAGCCCUAGCCUUGAAGUUGAACAUCCGGGGAUAUCUAAAUAUUGAACCAGUGAUUCAAAAGAAUGGCAAGUCAGCGGUUAUGUGUUGACUUCAGAAACAGGAAUCUUGCCACUCCAAAGGACGAGUAUCCAAUGCCGAUAGCUGACCUACUGGUAGAUUCGGCAGCUUGUAUUGAGCCUCUUGGAUGCCCACUCAGGAUAUAACCAGGUGCCAAUCGCCGAAGAAGAUAUUAACAAGAAUUUAGAUGCCCUGGUCCAGUUGGUGCCUAUGAUUUGUCGAUCAAUUCCUCGGGUCAAGGGGCGCACCUAUGAUGUAUAAUCUUCACUACUAGUCAAUCCAGGGAAAUAUUCCUUCUGGCCUUUUAUAGAUGGAUACCUUUUUCUUAGAAAAAAUCCCCUUUCAGGUUUAAUGAUCAAGCAGCGGGGUACCGAUUAUCCUCUUUUUGCCGGAGGAAGCGAGGAAACAGAGCUAACGGAAUUUCAUUGUAAAGAAAAUGACUCAUAAGGAGGUCAGUCAUAAAAUCCUUAAACACUAGAUCAUGACUAUAUACCCGGAUCUCAUUCCUUGAAAGAUCCCAGGUCGCUUCGCUUAAUCAAAGAUAAGAAAUAUCAUAGCUGCUUACGAAUGCCAUCCAACGAGGUAGAACCACCUUCUAAUCCUUAUGGAGUUUAAGAACAACGUCCACUUGGAUUUUCUAUACUAGUUAGCCGCAGAAAAAGACGAAAGCGAGCCAAAACAUGUAAAUCAAAAAACAAAAGAAGGGAACAUCCACUGCUGAAAUACACUUGCAUCGUCGUUAAACAGGAACUCAAAAACGGCACUAUAGCAUUGGAAUUAUGGAAUUUGAAUGGAUUGAGUACAUCAAGAUGAAGAAAUUAACGUAAUAAGCGAUAUUCUCAAAAGAUUCGGUCAUGCCAGAAACCUCAGUGUGCAUGGCACUAAAAAAGGGUACAAAGAACCUGAGAUGCAAGUAAUGGCUGAAUAGCCGGGGAAACACUAAAUAAAGACAAGUGUCAUCCGGACUUACUUGAUUGAUUGAAUCGAGAGAUGGAAAUGCCAUUGAGAGAUUAGAAGGGAUAGAGAAAACGUCAGAUAGAGGUCGUGCUUCUGCUCAGUCCAAAAGAACAAUCUGAGUGAGGAUAAGGUGGUUUAUGUUAGGGUCCGAGAAAGCAACUUGACAUGCCAAUCCUAACAAGAAUUCCACUCUUUCUGGUCAUGUCAGAAACCACCUCUUGGAAAGCAGAUCGAAAGCCAAUCGUUUCAGAAGAUGAUGACCCUCUUGUGCUCCUACGUUCCUGCUAGUUGGUGGAUGAAGAAUAGGAGAGAGCUUGCUUGAGUAGAAGAUAACCCGCGAGAAGGAUGUUUUGUAGCGCUUUCUCAUACAAAAGGAAAAGGCGUCACGACCGAUCGAUAAAGAAAAGAACCGCAGCGCUGUCGCCCACCCCGCUUUGGGCACGGGGAGGCGAGAACCACCGCUUUUAGGAAAGAAGCCUACAAUUUGAUUCUCGUCUCGUUUCACUUGCAUUUUCUUUCGUUCAGUCUCGUUCUGAGAGUGGAAUCGAACCACUCACUCCGUUUGGAUUUCGAGUCCAAAGGGCCCAGCCAGCGAAAGAGGAUUUACAGUCCCACGCAGCCUGCCAGAACCUUUUUCUUGCUUGAUUUUUAUACGAUUUUUUGAGCAACUAGCGCGAAAGCCGUUGCGCGUUAGCGCAUCCGUUUUCUUGCUUGAUUUUUAUACGAUUUUCUGAAGUGAUCUGUCCAACUAAGUAGAAAAGGACACUAGAGUGUGGCUACACGUGGUAUAGGGCUGCUCGUCCCGCCUGGUGUUGAGAAAUGACAUCCAAUCUUUCGGUACCUAGAAUAUAUUCUAGGUGGAUAAACUUAUUUUUGAUCAGCAUCAAUGGGAGAUCUGAUGUUUUAGAAUGACCUUCCCCCGAUCAGAGAAGGGGCUUGGUCUGGAACGGAUUGAGACGGAAAGCGGUAAUCAAUCGCCGCGUGGUGGAACGCUUGUUGGAGAAGGGUAAGCGCCUCCAUGUCGUAGGGGUGGGUAGGCCAAUAGAAGACUAGGGAACUUAGCCUAGCCACUCAGUUCUGCCCCGAGCCAAGUCUAUUUAGUGUCAGCGAACACAUACCACUAUCUAUAUAUAGGUUUUUCUUUUUCGUAGAGGUUGUCGCUUAGGUCCUUGGACCCUUCCUUCAUGAAGCUUGAGGAAGCACUCACUUUUCUAUCCACGGCAUUCUUGGUUCUGCACUUAGUCUUGAACCUGUGUUGGUUUGGGACGUCAAUCUCAUUCGUCAGCGGUGUGUGCCGCGUACUAUGAUUGCUUUCUUCUUGCUGUCAAAUCCCAGUCUAUCUUUCACUGAGCUUCCUUCGCUUGGAAUUCAAAGUCCAAAAAAAAGAAAGAAAGCGUACUGUGAGGUAUGAAUGAUCAAAUGUCUACGGGUGUCAUUGAAUAUCAUGGGGUACGAACUUCUAAGGUCAUGGCGUAGGGUAUUGGAUAGGCUGGUCCGCUGGUCGAAGUCAUUGCAGGGUGUGCUACGGACAGCUAUUGUUCCAGGGCAUUUCCUUUCUCUCGUCAUCACGCCAACAUACACAAGGCUUGCCUUCACAGGGCCCCACCUUGACUUGCCAUCAUGGCUACACUCUUUUCAUCAAAGCAACUCUUCUUAAGAAGACCCCUUGGUCCCCACAACGAAGUUCCUCCAUAGAGAACCCAACUGCACAGCACCAUCGCAAAGGUUUCUUCGUAACUCGAUUAGUCUCACUCAAGAGAACUCAUCUACACGGAAGGUCUUUUAAGUGCCAGUUGUACCCGCACAGAAGUUCUGCGCCCUCAACUACACCAGGAUGCCCCCUGCAGUAGCAUCACAACUUUUCUCACCAUGGACAGCUCGCCAGUCUUCUUGCAUCAGCCACACCUAAUUACAAAUGACCUUGGCCUCUCCAUGCUCGUCAUUUACAUUUAAACUGCACACCCCCUUGUUGAGGUCUUACUCCAAAGGUACGGCCUCUAGCACAUGACCAUUCCUCACUCAAGUCAUCGACACCCUCGUCGAUGUACGUGUUGAAAGAAGAAAUUCCACUAUCUCUCAAACGAAAUGAGGUUUUUGAACUCCUAUAUAACAGAGUUUCAUUGAUGCCAAAGGGGGUUUUCCUCAAACGAUUGGAACCAGAAUAAAAUAAAAAAAAGAAUGAAAGAGUCAAUCUAUCUUAGUCAAGGCGCUCGCUCUGCCACAAAGGGAGGCACUGGCAAAAUCUAAAUAGAAAAGAAUAGUGUGGUUCAGCGUUGCUAUCCCUCGGUCUCCCCAAUCAAGGGCUUAUAGCAACCUCUAUCAACACAACUAUCCGAACACCUAUUGCUUGCUUUAGCUCCAACUACUGCUAGCUUUAGCUGCAACUAUCUUCCGACUCUCUACUUGUUCGUUGCCCGACGCGGCUCUGCCUCUGCCUGUUUUUGAGCUCAAUAAAAGAGAAAGUUUCAUGCCAGUAUGGGCGAAAACCAUCAAUUUUCACAUUCCCCUAAUAAAUGGGUGUUUUUGAGGUCCUUUUUCCGAUCAGUUUCAUGCCAGUAUGGGGUCAAAGUAUACAAAAAUCACAUUCUCCCCGUAGAACGCUGUUUUUAGAGCUCUCCUUUUUUGGAAACUUUCAUUGCGCAUAGUACGAAAACCAACAGAAAUCCCACUGGCAAAGGUGUUGUGCCGGUUGCCGACCAGGCGAUCGACCAGCUUCCGACCAGAAGCGUUGGUCCAGUGAGGUGAGCCACGACCAGAACAGAGCUGUUACAAAGGAAGCCCACUCCCUUAUGUUCUGAUGGGAAAUAGGACUAGGAUCUGUAAUAGUUGUAUCUGCUUUCCUUUGGUUUGCAUGGGCACGUGAUACAUUCCUAGCAUGACGUUGGAACAAGCAAGGACCCAGCGUGAUCCAGAGGGCAAGCCCAUCCCGGGUAACUUUGUAUCCUGACCCAAGCCGGAAGUUUGUCGAACUUGUAGUCUAGGACAUUGGUAGGGAUCCGCAUGGGCACGCUGAACAAUCCGAUGGCCACCCACAACACGAAACAUCGGCCCCGCUCGUAGCGCUUGCCGAUCAUCCCUAUCUCUACCGGGCCCGUAUUCCCCGCCUCGCUGAUACUUAUUCAUUUCUUUGAAUCGAUAAAGAUGGGUAUCCAUGCCUCUUAGUUCCGGGGAGAUACUGGUUAUGCCAGUGUGGACAAGUUCAAAUGGAGCAAACCCGCAAGAGCAUGGAGCAUAGGAUUUGAAUUAGCCCAGGAGGCGCGGGCGAGCAACUAAAGCCGACUUCCUUCCUCUGAUUGGAAUUGGUUGAAAGGAAACCGGAACUGGAAGAUUGACUCGGGGAAACAGGAAAUCCUUAAUGCCGUGGGAAAUCCAUUGAGUAUCCAAGGAAAAGGCAAGCUCAAGGUAUUCUCCCCAAUCUUUCCCUUUCGGUCAGACAGCACUGGUCAAUAGGAUCGGGUGGGCUGGGCACAUAGCCGGAGAUAAGAAAUGGCAACAAGGCUCAACAGAGCAGAGAGACAAGAAUACCUAUAUAGAGACAUGAGAAAGAAUAAGCCAAGGACAAAACGAGAAUUCCGCAUCCGGUGAAAGCUGAAGUCACAUAGGGAAGGGAGUUUCUGCAGAUGGAGAAAAGGGAGAUAUCACACUGUGUGUGAUAGGUUAUUAGCUGGAGGAUUGAGAUUGGUAUAUGGCAUUCAGAUAGUCCUUCUGAACUGAAAUCAUGGAAAGACUAGGCUCACCAGGCAGGGAAAGCUAGAUAUAGCCUAAAAAACCUCCACUUACGGAUUCACAUACUGGUUGGUAUGUUCAUCAAGUUCUCGAUUACUACUUACGGUGCCCACUGACUCCCUUUAAUGGUACGCCAAGAUAUCGCUCAUAACGACUGCAAAGGCAUAUUUAUUAGCCAGCUGUGGGAUACUGCCCUAAAGCUGCUGUUCCGGUGAUUAGAUCAAAAUAGAGUUCUUUCUACAAGAGCAUCUCAAGUUGGUCAGGCGUCCCCAGGAGUGUUUCGAUAUCAGCAAGCACAUUCUAACUAUCUAUAAAUGGCAUUUCGAGGUGAGAGAGAGUUCCAGCAUAUUACACAAAAGAGUGGGUAGACACAUGCGUUGAGGCAUUCCCUACAACAGGUGGAUAAAGCCGUUUCUAGGCCAUAGAAAAACAUAGCAUGUGACAUUUAUUUACAUAGGACCAAGCAUAAUCGUUUUAGAUAAGAAUCAAUCAGCAGGUGAAAGGCAAGCACUUCCUUCCCUGAAUCCUACUCUUGCCCUAAAAAAGUACUAACUAAAGCCAAAUCGAAUGAAAUAUGCCUCUCUACGCGAAUAAGCAGAAGUGAGCCCAAUAGAACAGAUCAGGAAAGAGUUUACUAAGCUAUCGCGCGCAGUAAAGAGAAUACCAUAUCUAGUUCCUGGCUAGCUCCCAUCUUCGAUGCAUGGAUCUGACUAACCGGAGAUCGGACUCGUGUGCUUGAAUCAAAAGAAAAUACCGGUAUUCUGUUCCAAAUUAGGCUUGUAAUUAGAGUUACCAAUGGUAAGGAUUGGCGUGGGUUUAGAGUGGGUAGCCCGCUCGCUAUCUAUGUCUUUCAUUCCCAUGGAUUGGAAAACAUCUUACUCGCCAUGGGGCGAAACUUCUCAUCGUCAGCCUAAGUGAUUGUUUCUGUAAGCUAGAGAGAAGUACCCUUGAUUGGGUGCUUCGAACGCCCUUCGGGAAGUGAAAGUGAAGGUUGAUCAAUAGCUUGAAUCAGGACGAUGCCGCUUAGAAAAGUCUUCUUUCUUCCUUUUCAUUGUGACUCAAAAGCCACAAACAAGGGUUACUAUUCAGGAGUGGAAUUGCAUUCUGUACAAUGGGCAUUUUCAUUUCUCUUUCUGUGCUAUGGCUAUGGUUGACUUCUGUCUCUCGACAUGUAGAGAAGCUGAUCAAAAGGAAAUAGUCUUCCAGAUGGCAAAUAUGUGAACCAUAAACCGUAGAUUUACCACCAAUUGUGACUCAGGGAGAUGAAAGGUAGAGAAUGGCUUAUUCGUAAAAGAAGGCUCCCAGCCAAAUAUAGAAUAGAAAGGAAGGGGCAUCCCCGUGAGAAAACCAGGUGGUGUUACUUUCCUGCUUCCACCUGAACCUGCUUGCAGGCCUUAUAGAAAAGUCUUGUAUAAGAUAACUAGCUUGACAACAGGAAUUCUCUAACUUACUUGUAGAUAACGAACUUGCUGAAGGAGGUUAAGAUAGUUUUCCGUUAAUGGGGAGAGAGAAAAAGAGUCCUCGCUUUCAUAAUCGGUAAUCAGAGUCCAGGCUUCCAAAAGCCAUAUUUUACGACAACCUAUGAACCGACUAACUCAACAGCUGGCCUUAGAGAAACUGUCCUAACUUAUCCAAGUAGUCCUAAUAAAUAGCCAUGAUGAAAUACUCUUCCUUUCCCUGCGGCACUCGCUUGAAGGACUCGAAAGCUGACUAAUGCUGAUAGGAAAACAGAGCUUCCUUCAAACGCUGAUCGAUACCAUCCACCAGAAGAAAACGUGACCGCAACUACUUCCCGAAUCAGCACCGUCUGGAGGCUUUGCAUCUGUAUUUGGAGCUGGGCAUGCAUCCAUUGAUUCUAGCACUUGGAGCUUUGAACGCUCGAAAGAGAAAUACAAUCUCCGCCCUACAAGUGGAUCGAUAGGUUCAUACAUCUUGUAGUCGGUGCAGUUCUGGGAAGGAAUGGGCUAGUAUGAGUUCUGGUUUAGUCAGUAGUUCACUUCUCCCUUCUUGUCCGCAAACAAAGCAAACUAGAAACCUGCUUUUGCUGAAGACAGUGCUCAAUGAGAGGAGGUGGGCAAGUAUUAGUUAAGGGAUAUCAGGAAGGAGGUCGAAGAAAGGGGAAAGAGCUUCAUCGUCGAUUAGCAAUUGAAAGUAGGGGAAACUAUGAUUCUAUCGAAUGUGCGUAUCCAUUGGGGCUAGUGAAAGAUUACGGUAGGGGAACCCGUUUCACUACUGACUUCGUGUAUGAGUGACAAAAAGUAAGGGCAGAAUAGCCCCUUCAAAGUAGGGGCUUCACAACCCGCUUCUCUUCCUUAAUUUAGUGAAUGGUGGGUGCGCAAAGUCUUGAGUUUUGGACCUGUUACGGACAAAAGGAGAAGACAACCAUUGUACCGAUCCACUACUUGAAUCUACGAGGACUAGUUUAGUCGGAUCUAUUGUUUUACCACUCACUAACAGGACUUUCCUGCUUAGGAUUGAUAAGAUAAGAAGAUCGUUUUCUUUCUCUUGCUCUGUAUAAUAGAAAUAGUGUACUAAGGUAAGUUCCAUUAAGUUAGGGCUGGUUAGUGAAGUUAAGUAAGAGGGAGUUCUAGUUAAGUAUGCCCAUAGCUCUUGCUUCUAAUUGGUUAGUGCAGGAUACUACUCUCCCCGUCCAGUUCUGGAGAAGAGAAAGGUUGCGUUCCUUCUUUUCUUUCAGAUAGUGGGAUGCGUUGAUCUGCUGAAUCAAGAAGAUCAAGUCCUCCCGGGCAAGGCGAACCUAGUGGUUUCUAGUUCAGUGCAGCCUUUUCCUCAGAGCUAUUUGACAAUGGGCCCAAUGAAGACUUCUUCCCCCCGAGGAUAAGUCGAUACUAGUUUCUGGUCUGCUUUGGAGAGUAGAAGUCGAUAUUUGUUUCUGGUCUGCUACUGAACUUCGCAUCGCGCUAGGUGAGACGAGAAGUGCCAGCAAAGGCCUCUGUUACGGAUUACGGGAAACAAGCAAACAGAACAGGUUUGAUAACUUACUCGGGUGCCGGGGCCUCGGAUCCAGAGGUUCCAGGAAGGAGGAAGGCUCGUUUCAUUAUCGAAUAUCGUGUAGAACUCACUUGCCCUGCCUUUUGCUAGGAAUCCUAUCGUUAUGCUUUGGUCGGGUUAUCCCAUAAAUCAAGGGCCCUACUAUUCUAUUAUUUUUUGUUCAGAUCUGAAAGGACAGAUAGAAAGCUUAAACCCAGCUUGGGGAGAAAGAUGAAUCUUGGCGAGAGUAAGGAAUCGCACCCUUAGCGUGAGGGGAAUAGCCGGUUUCCUUUCCUUAACUAGACUACCUUACGGUAGCUCGACUGGGCACGUCAACGUAUGUAUUCUGUCUUCCCAAUCAAACAUUAGUCAUUGCAGCUAUUUCAUCUGGUCUACUAGAGUAGAGAGAUCUCUCACUUCACUGCACAUCGCACUAACUAAUAGCUAGCCGCCUCACGGAUCACCUUAUUAUGUGCAGCUAAAGCGGGGUGUGUGCAUUGUUCAACUAGAGCCGAGGAGGACAAAAGAAUAAGGAACAAUAGGUUCGCUACCCGAUUUCAAUAGUUUCCUUGAUUUGAAAUCAAUCCAAUAUCCUUUCGAGAAUCUAGAGUGAUAUCAACAACCUCCUAGUUGAAGUACAGACGAGGAAGCAGCCUAUUAGUUUCAGUCCAGUCCAGGAAAGGAGCGGAGCCUAUUGAUAUAGCUUAGUAGAGCUUCGCCAUGAUAGCAGUUUGUUUUAACAAGUAGUAGGAAUGCGUGCUGAUGUGCCAAAUCUCCUCGUGCUCCUUCCGGAUAAUCCGAAAUCUAGGGGUAAAGGAAAGAUCAAGGUUUUCUCCUUGAUCAAUCGACUUGCCUGCUUCCUUUCAUCUGGCCAACGGUUCCUGUAUCAUUAGCUAGAUCUGUUAUGUCAACCUCAGAGACAGAUGCUUAUGUAAGAAGAAGGUAUCCCGAGGGGAACAUGUCAAGUAUCCGCCUGGCAUCGAACUCUAUUUUAUGUAUGUUAAUGAAAGGUUUAGACUAAAGCGGGGUAGAGGAAUUGGUCAACUCAUCAGGCUCAUGACCUGAAGACAGCAGGUUCGAAUCCUGUCCCCGCCUAAUCACGUGUACGAUUCAAUGAAAUAGCUAUUUGGAGUCCACUGAUGAUUUGCUAAUUGUUUGAUGAUCCUUGACUAGCUAUAUAGACCCUAGGAACUUGCAUGUGCUAUUACUGCUGUAUAAAGGAAAGGUGGCUCACGUUACCACUCUCCCCUAUUCCUACAGGAAGGAAGAGUCCAUCAAAUGCAAGUCGCUACCAGUUUCCUAUUUUGGAUGAAUACCAUCGCACCAUUUGACCUCGAAGUAACGAGUACUCAAGGAAUCCUCUGGAAUUCCAGUCAUGAUGAUCAGGUACCCGGAGUACAUCACCCUCAUCAGGAAGAAAAGAGAGAGAAGUGGAGUAAAAUGGAUUCAAAUGCCGCAUUGCAAGUGAACAAAAGAAACCAGUGGAAAUAGAAAGAGAAUGAACAAGUGUAUCAAUUCAUGAGUUAAGGAAUACUAUUGGGAAGAUUGGGUGACUAAUAUCCUGAGAAAACGAUCUCUUGCUUCCCUUGAAACAUGCUGAGAGGACCAUUUCGAUUAGUGAGAAGCUCAGUUCAUGGGUCAUGACGACAGAUCAUAUCGUGUACCAGUGCACUGUUCUUUAGAGAUCUAUGUUCAGUGAACAAGAAUGUAGUGAGGGGUGCUACUUUAGUGUUAUUCCUAGACUGAUGAAGUGAAGACUUUAGGCCUCGCUAAUAGUGGACCAACUGAGAAUGUUUGUUUCUCUUUUCUGUAGAUAUCUCAAUAUUCCUUGAAAGCCUUAUGAAUGGUGGCGAGGAUGUGGAAGAGCUAGUCAUAUAGUCCUUUAAGCUUGAUUCCUUUUAUCGGUUAGCAAGGAGUUUGAAGCUUGAGUACUUUCAUUCAGCUUUCGUUCCUGUGGAAUGAAGUUGGUUCAGAGGUCUCAAGUAGAUCUUCUCAGACAGCGAGUAAUAUCUCUACUACACUUUCCUUCCACUUUAUGUUGAGCAAGUUCACCUGUUAGCUUUCCCGCCAAAGGACAGCAAGCCAGUAAUGUGAAUCAUCAUAGUUUCUGUUUUCAGACAAGUACAGCGUCCACCUUUAUCAUAUUAGCAAAUAGCUGAUCUUAAGAGAUCUCAAAUAAGGGACAUACUUUUUCGUAUUUCCGAAUGGAGCAGAAUAGUCAUUCAACUGAUGCUUUGAAAGUCUUAAACGAGGCGAUGUGUUUAUCUGUCUUUCCUCAUUGCAUUCCUAUACUUUCCUGCUUAGUAUCAAAACCAUGUGAUGGUACACUAUUUUGGCUAGAACUUGAUUUCUCUAACAACUCAAUAUGACUUUCUUUUUCGUGUUGAGAAACAUGUUCGGAUGCAACUUUCAUUGAAAAAUAAGCAUAAUGAAUUAACUGGCCAGUGGAAUUUUAUGAAAUGAGGGCUCUCGGGAAAGCAAGACUUAAGGAAGGUAGGCAAUUUCAUACCAAGAAGAGCAUUUAAGAACAGCUCAUAAGCAAUUCCAAGUGGCAGAGAUGACUCGAGGGACCUCGUCAGAUAAGCAUAUCCUAUAGUAAAUGUGGUACCUGGUCCAGUCAACUUGGAAGUAGAAACUGACCACUAGUGGGUGUCAAUUCAAAAGUCACUCUGUGGCUAACGCUUCUACUGCUAUCGGCAGGGCUUAGUCUCUCGUGGUUCAUUUCCACCGGAGAGCAUCUGUUUGAAUAAUUAGCAUAUAUAGUUGAUCACUCUAAUGACAACGGAUUCGAUUCGCAAAUUUCUCGUGAUUGACCGAAGGAAAGGUUAGCGACUGCUCUCCCUACGGAAUCUCAAGUAGAGCCAUUGCAUAGCUGGCAGACACGAUGGGCUCAGGGUUUCGACUGCUGUUCAUUCCGAUCUUAGGUCUCGCUCAGCGAAUUCAGAAGGGUUGGGUCCUUUGUCAAUGACUUACUUUCCUAGUAGCAGAGAUGCAAGAAUAACUACUUUCUUCUGCUAGGCUAUUCUUUGUUUUUGAAUCCAAGAUAAGUCAUUCCCCAGGGAAAAUCUAUAAUGAGCAUGAGGUAACAAUUCCAUGUUGAUCCGAAUCAAUCCGUAUGCUCCCAUCUUUCAGAGGAUUCCCGCUAAAAGCAUACAUGUACUGUCCCGAACUCCGAUUAAGAAAUAAAUGGAACCACCUAGACUUUGGGAAAGGGGAGUAGCGGACCUUAGGCCGAGAUGUGCAAUCCUACGGCACAUUCCAGUCAUCAAAUAAAGGAAAUCGCAAUCCUAAAUCCGGAAAGGAAUAACGAUUUAGGGCCUGGUUUUACUAGAACAAUACGUUCCCCACGAGAGGCGGGCAAUGCCCACUAGAGACUAAGAAAGCAUGCCUGUGGAGAAGAGGCGUAUGCCAAGUCAAUUGGUCCGAUUGUACAGGCAGAUCGAUACUUGUUUCCGGUCUGCUUUAGGCAGAGGGCAGAAUCUAUUGAUUGAGGAAAGGAUUGUUAUCCUACAUACAAAGGAAAGAAUACCCGGCAAAGUCAUUCAAUCUCCAAUUCUUCCUCACCUGGAUCAAGCCCAAGGCGAGAAAUACAAGCUUCUUUCCUCUCGGCCUAACCGGUCUUAGCUUUUCCUGUUCACGACUCCGAUCUUCUUUCAUCCGCAGUUCUUGCUAAUGUCUUCACUUUAAAGGGACAGAAGUUUCAAGAGAAAUGGUCUCUUUUGAUGGGCAUUUGUAGAUGAUGGUUGAUACUGCAAACAAUGCCUUCUUGACAGCUCUAGCAUCACCAGUUAUCUAUUAAGCAUAAAGAUACAUUCAAGAUAACAAUUAGCAGAAUAUAAGAAACAAAGAAUAGAUAUUGAAUAAAGAAAAAAAAGAGCAGAGCCUCAUAACCGUCCUAAUAGAGAUAAUACCACGUUCGUCUUGUUCUUUACGCCGAUCCAACUCGUGCUUUUUAGGAUGGAUUUCACACGGAAUCAAGGGAGGUGCGGGAUACGACCCAUAUCACAUUCCUGUGCCAUAGCUUGCAAAAUCAAAUAAAUCUAUCGAAGCUAGGGUGCCAGGCCUAUCAGAAUCAGAAGAACAAUCCACACUAAUGUAACCGUAAAGAAAUGGCGGCUCUAACAUAGAUUUUUCUCAAUAUGUCAUGUUGUUGAAAAAUCCUGUGGUAGCAUGGGAUGAUCGGCACUUUAGUUUUAGUUAUUGAUUUACGCAUCACGCAUUAACUAAUAUUUAUGGGGCUGGAGACUUCGCUAAAGCAUGCACAUAAAUAGAUGAAUGAGAGAUUACAAGGCAAGGAGAUACAGAUCUGGGGGUUGACUCAGAACUUGUACAUAGGUCAGCUCACUAAUGCUUAAUAACCAAUAAAUAGUCAAUCAAGAGAUAUGCACCAGCAAACAACAUUAUACUUAAAUAGUGUAUUAGGCGGCAAAUGGCACAGAAGAGUUUAGACGAUAGAUUCUCUACAACAGGUAGGGAUCGGGGGUUAUACGCUCUUUUCUAUAAACAAAGUAGGCUUGUGAUUGUCCGCAUCCAUCACUCAAUCAUGCAAUUCAAAGAAAUGGUUUACUUAUCUUCUUCUAAAGGAUGGAAUUGCUAGAUUGUCAGUAAUAUCAAUUGAGGAAGAAGCUAGUCCCACUUAAAUUCGAAAAGAAGACCUCUAUUGUGACAGAAGAUUCCUCGCCCACAGCAUCUCACUUAUUGAUUGUGACAUAGCUCUCUAUCUCCGCUCAUAAGAAGAUAGCGUUUCAUUCACUCGCUCUAGAAACCAUAGGAGCUACUAUUCCCAAGUUUAUUAAGAAUGGGCACUCACUGGAUUCAGGCUUCCACCGUUCUAGCUUCUCUUCGUAGUUCACUAGAAUGUAUCGAGCAUGUUUAUCCGGAUCAGGAGGCUUUACAUAAAUUGCUACGAUUGCCAAGUCGAAAAAGAACUGGGCAUGAAAGUGAAAGUGGAAAGAGAAGGGAGCGUGACUUGUUUCAAGAAUUGGAUGCCCUUGUUAAGGAAAUCUAGUAUAAAAGGAUAAAUUGGGCCUAUUUAUCACUUUUGGUACCUAACCACCUGAACUGGGAAUCCAGUACCCAACUCUCUACUUUGUUUUUGCACCCAGGGCGAAGACCAAGAGCUGGAGAUAAGAACGGAAGAGGAGAAGGUGAGGCAAGCCAUGCUAUCAACAAAUCCUAUAAGCAUGCGAUCCAUCAGCCCGGUCCGGUCCUUUGAUUAUCGAUCUGGAAAAGAGAGAAGAACCGGAGAUGGGGGCAGAUCCUUCUAGAGAUGGACGCGCUUUUUGACUCGAGAAAGUACUAAUUAAUUAAUAGGGGCGCACUUGAGGUGCAAGCCGUUUCUUGUUGCGCCAGAGGAGAAAGCGUGUCGACUGGCUCUAGUGAGUGGUCUUUAACAAACCUAGUCUAAUCUUAGCCAACAGCCGAUCUCUCUUGAUCGAUCAAUAGAAUAUGAGACCUCCGGGUCAGCAUUUCCUGUAUCUGGUUUCGGGAAAGCUAAGCUAUUCGUUACAAAGGAAGCAAGUUAACCACGAAUCGAUGAGUGUGUAUCACUUUGAGAUGGAGAAAGCGGCUUUCUUGCCUUCACUAUAAAUGAAGAAAUUUUUAACUGAUCUUGACGUCUGCCUGAUACUGGAUGCGGUAAAAGCUCGAACGACCUUCAACCACUCCUGCCUGCCUGCCGGAACUAUUAAGCUGAUAGGAAUGAGAAACAAGCUGAGCUGAAACAUUACGGGCAGCUACAUCUAGGCUUAUAGUAAGCGAUUCAAACUCUCUCUUUAGUGGACACACACGACAUGAUAAAUGUGAUGGAAGGCUGGAGACAUCGCUCCAUCGGGCAUUAGACAGAAGCCAGUGGUAUCCAGAGUGUGCUACCCCGGCUGGACCAAAAAGGGAUUAAUACUACUUCAAAGUCGAAAAUCCGGUAACCGUGACCGCUACGGUGAGCAAAUGCAUCAUCAGUGCUGUAUUUAAAUUGUGUGCUAUCCUUGAAAAGGGCUUCACAUUUGGAUGGAAUUGCAACAUGCAGGCUUUCUGACUACCACUGAUGCUUGCUGUGGGCUGGGCAAGUAUGGUGGCCUAUUCAUAUGUGUUCUUCCACAGAUGGCGUGCAGCGACGCGUCAAGCCAUGUCUGGUUGGAUGAAUUCCACCCGACAGAUGCUGUGAAAAAGUUGUACAGCGAAGGUGAAAGAAAAGCAAUUCCCUGAAGAACUUGCAAUGCUGCAUCAAAAUUUCCCCUCUGAUAUUCCAGUCUUCCCAGCAAAUCGGGCCUCCUGAUAUACAAUCAAAUAAACCUUACCAGUGAGCAAAUCAGCAAAAGAAACUACUACUAUUUCCUUUGAAGAGAGAGGGGUUCAGCCAAACCCAAACCUCAUAAUUUAUCUCUCUAAGGUCUGAUUCCACUUCAUUUACGUGGCUAUCAUCAGGCGUCGCUUCUCGAUUUCCUGUCCUCGAAGAACCAUUUGCUGAGAAAUCCCGUGUUGCAAGAGAUUCUGGCGAUCGAGGCAUCUCUUCAAACUUGGAUUGGUCCCCGCUGCAAGUACAUAACAUGAUGGCAGCCAUUUUCUGCUUUGCGGAUACUUUCACUUAAUUUAGAUUAAAAAUGUCAUCUCUGUCUGAAGAUCUUCCCUUGGGGCCAAUGGUAUUGACCAUUCAUCAAUAAGAACCUGGGAAGGAGAUGAUGUAAGGGUCGGCAACAAUGAAUAAGGAAUCGAUCGGAGUUCCAGGCACAAAACAAUUAUACAGAACUGGGUAUACCAAACAGUUGAUCAGCAAGGCAAAUGUCCACUAAACCAGCUAAACGGCUCACGAAUUGUUUGGAAUGCGACGGCAAAUGUGAUCUCCCAGCAAUAUCUCGAGUCCAAAACCUCACCCAUCUACAUAUAUCAUCAUCUGCGGCAAGAACAUAGCAACACCAAAAUCCUACCAGCAACUGCAGCAAUGCACCCUCCUCACGACAGCCAACCAUCGACGGUGUCAGACUAUGAUUCAGUUGCAGUACUACUCCUCUUUGUUCUGUUUCAUGUUUUUGGCGGUUUCGUUCUUGUGUCUGAGUCCGAAGAAGACGGUGGAUGUUGAUCCAGUAGCAAAAUUUUGCUUCCUGUUGCAGGAUUUAUGUAUCGUGCCGUGCGUAGUAGUGGUAGAGUAUGUUCAUGUGAUUGAUCACUAGCCUGGCCGAUAUGGUCGAGGAGAACAUCGGUUAUUUUGCUCUUCAUCUAGUAGCUGAACCAUUAUAUGAUAUGAUCUGAUCUGAAUGGAUGCAGUUUUGCUUUCUGCUGCUACAAUGCUUCUUGCUCUGCUCUGUCUGGUAAUUUCUCCUCUGUGGAAUGCCCUUUAGCUCUGUGCUGCUAUAUUGCUCCUUGCGCUCUGCUAUGCUAGUUCACCGCUGUAUACGACCAAGGAGAAUUGGUUUGCACCAGAGACUAGUAGGAAAUCCUUGCAAAACAGAGCUUUCUUAAUUAAUUAAUUGGCCAUGUCAUGUCGCUGCACCUGACUGAGAUCAGCAUACUUGAUUCAUUCUGUAUUUUGGUGAGGUGUCCUGGCCCUCUUUUUUUCUUAUACCUAUAUAUAUAUAUAUAUUAUUUGCGAAUCGUCCGGACGACUCAGAGAUUGUCCGUCUUAUUCCUUCAUUUCAUAUAUUUUUUUUUGGUAAGAUCUAUUGACAUCAAAAUAUAGCCAUAAACAUACUUCCACCUUCGGUGGGCUUCUAACUCAAGUUUUCCGGAAAGGAAAAUGGUCAUACAGUCGCAAAAGCUAUGGUACCAAUCGAGCAAAGAGCCAUUCUAGAGCGAGACCACCGAAGAGAGGUCGGCCCGCCAUCUGCCGCCGAAGGAAGAAUUGUUGGCGAAAGUCAGGUAGUAGGAAGCCCGCCCCCUCUGUCAGACCACGUACCAUCGUGCCUGGCGUAGAUACGGACGACAUGGAUAAAAUCCAGGUUUAUGUACGACAUGCUCUUUCCUUCCUUCAUUCGGUGACGCACAGAGGUGGCAGAGUCUUGUUCCUGGAGUCGCUCACAACUUUUGGGAGCACCGAGAUCCUGAAUAAGAUGCUGCACGAAUUGGCUGAGGUGUUGGGAGCCCCCAAUAGAGAAGGACGAUGUGGAAAGGUAUGGUGGGAAUACAAACAGGCCUGGACAGAAGAAGUAGACGAAAGACCUCCAGGCUGUGUCGUCAUUCUCAAUCCUGAAAAGGGAGCUCAUAAACGCCUAUAAAAGUAGAAAUGUUUUAGUUCGACCCGAGCUAGUCAGCGACUUCAAUGCCUUAAGCGAUCUCGAUGUCCCGAUGCUUUAGGCUCCCGGUAGCAAAGCAGGGUUCCAAUCAUACCUUUCUAGUGCCAAGCACAGAAACAAUCCAUGGUUUCGUGUCCCGAACAACACUUUCAUCCCUUGAGGCUCCCUCUUCUGUACUUCUUCAUCCUCCGAGUCCCAUCUCUAUUCUGUGUAAUAAUUGUACCCGCCGGGUAGUAAUUUGCUUCUCCACCCCUAUGGGAGAUCACUAGCUCUCUCCUGCCACAACAGCUUCCAUUUUGGAACUUCGGUAUUCUUUUACUCCGCGUCUGCAAGGCUAUCGUCACCUUCGCUAUAUACCUUUGUUAUCACUGCUUCUUCGCUCCAAAACUACCUCCUCUUUUCUAAAAAAACUGUCGUUAAGCUCCCUUAUUCUGAUCUGAUUGAUCGGUGUAUUAAAAGCAACAUGGCACCUUUUGACAAAACUUGAGUUUGAAGAGGUCAAGGUUGGAUUGUACCUAACAGGAUUUGAGUGGCCUUCUCUAUUUAGAGCCAAUCGUGGUUCGGGUACCGAGUCCUAAAAGUGUUUCAUCUGGUUCCGAAAGAGCUGGGUCGUGCCUCGUUGGAGUUGCUGAAGUUGUUAAGCGAUGGAGCGAAUCCGUAAUAGAACUUGCGCCCAGUAAGCAAUUGAAGUAGUGGUCUCGAAUUCCUUAACAAAAGUAAAAAUGAAAGUAAGGACAUGGGAGAAGCAACAUCUCAUCUGGUCUGGUGACGGGUGCAGGCCUUGCUUGACUGUAUGGCCUUUCUUUUGUUCGUUCGAAGCGGCUAUUCCUGAUUCAGAAAGGAAAGGUAUGUGGGUAGACAUUGAGUUAGAGAUUGAAUGAAGGGGCACACUAGAGAAAAGCAAGGACAAGUAGCUAGUUGACUAACGCUUUCGAGCACGUACGCUGGCGCUCUUUGAUAGAGCAUUAUCUACAACCCUGAAGCGAACUAUGAAAAAGAAAUCUAGCAGUCUCUUCCAGCAAUGAAUUGUAGCAGGGCUUGGUCUCGAAAGGUAUAGAUACCACCAGAAGCUUGGAAAGAAGAAGGAAUGUCGACCUACCGCUCCGUGGGCUUUGAACCUUGCUUUUCUGUCAAAUUCUCAGACGCUAUAGCUGUGUAAAAACAGUACUCGAUUUCUCACUAGAAAAAACAACAGUCUUUAUUGUUGUGUGCAUAUUAGUCACUGAUUAUAGCUUUGAAUAGGACAAACUACUUUAGUAACUCUUGACUAUUGCUUGAAACAAGCGUUGAAGCAAUGGAAAGAAGCGAACGGUUAAGCUAAUGCAGCAAGAAAAGGGAUGCAGCAAGUGUCCAAAAAUCGGAUAUGCCCGGUGAAAAUUAUAAACAAGGCUGAGGAAGGAUUUCGUACUGCCACAAUGCUCUUGAUAGAAGGAAGCAUGAAUACCGAAGGCCUACCUAGUUGAAAUAGGAACAGCUAUGGAAGUCCUCGGCCAAACGAAUAUUUCACGGAAAGCCGACAAGGGAUUUUCUUAAUAACUGGGCGCUUUGAUUCUUUGGAACAACUCGAUGAAUUUAGUAGAUCUUUUUAGGAGGCCUUCCAUGACCAUAGAUCGAACCUAUCCCAUUUUGACAGUACGAUGGUUAGCUGUUCACGGAUUAGCUGUACUGGAAUGACAACACAUAUGAGAAUCUGUACACGAUACAGAAUAACGACACGACACGCAAUCUUAUGACUACAGUAUGGCCUUCAUCUUUGACAGCAAUCAUGACAGGCCGCGGUAUUAGCGUUAGAGAAAGGAAAGGACUUGAGGUCCGUCCACCUACAACUAAUAAAGCUCCGCCUUUGGGGACUACUACAACAGAUAGGCAUUUGAAGGACCAAACCACCUACUGAGGACUUUGACACCCAGCCCUUAAGAAGCAGAAUCUACAACUUUGGGAUACGUAUUUACAGACUGCAAAAGAUAGAUACAAUGCUGUUACCCACCAUGCAUGCAAAUCUUAGUUCUAUGGACUACUAGUACCAGGAACGUCAUCUACUACUGCGAAACUCCCGGGGGACGCUUUUCUAACUGGUUUAGCCUCUAGAGUGGGGAGGAAGAACACCCUCUAGACCAGGAUAACUUACUAAUUCAAUUGACAAAGCGUCCUAUUUGCUAGAUUUCUAGUCGUUAGCUCUUAGUGAAGACGAAUUGCUAUCAUCUGCGGGCGGCCCUCAUUAUUGAAUUUAUCCGCCUUCGAUGCAACCAAAUUCACUAUUGACUUACGAGUUUAUGCAUGCUUCAUUCCUAUAUCGGCAUGUAUUAUCCGUAGGCUGGUUGUGAGACAUCUUCCUCUUAGUGCUACAAAUGGCUUCUUCCUUAGUUCUUUAUAGCUCUUUCACCUCUUUUAGACUCUUUGCAAUGUUUAGUGCGGGGAACUCUACACUAUUGUACUCAGAUGCUAUUCCUUCAAGAAAGUAUCGGAAAGCAAAAAGGGACUCGUUCACCGUAUCGCGUCCAAUACAGCUAUGCCACAAGUUGACCUAACCAACUGGUAAACAAAACCCAAGUUAACGGAUCGACCUAGGAAUAGGAUGAAUAGAACCAUUGAAUCGUCACCCAAUGGAGCAGAGAGCCUUCCUUUAAGAAAGAAAUAACUCCCUACAACAACCGUGUUUCGAAACUCGAUUCAUUAUCAUACGAGAAAUUGCAUGACAAGAACCUUCAUUCCUACAGAGAGGUUGAAGCUAAGUUUCAAGACCUAGUACGGGCAAAGCGCAGUUCAAAACCGAAAGGAUCAAAGAAAAGGGAAUAUCACGAAGGUAAGCACAUUCUAUUUUUCUUAAUUGACAAAGCAAAGGGAGUUAUCAACCCUUUUUUCCGAAACCCUAUAACGGCUAGUUCCCAAUGCUCGGCUUCCUACCUCCUCUAACAAAAUCAAAGGUAAUAUCCUCCGUUUUCCAAGAAGAUAAGUUCUACGGCAAAGGAUGUCAACGGAACAGUUUCGGCAAAGGCAAAGCCCGGGAGAAAUCCAAUAGCGUAUGGCGAUAAUGUCAUCCCCACCGAAUCCUCAUCUUCAAAGCAUUUUCUUGCAAGGGCCUAUCGCGAAAGAACUCAAGCCAAUACUUUUGCAUUUUCAUGUAGUAGAUCCUAGGAAACAUACGUACGAGAUAUUUACAGCCCUUCUUCGGCAAGGGUAUCCGGUAAAAGGAGGACGGUUCCUAAUCUUUUGAUCGGCAAAGGGUUCGAUGCAUUAGUUUUCGACUAUGAACGAGUCAAUCAGCUAGAUCUACUUGCGGCAAACGGCACCUUCCUUUCCCAGCCAAUGGUACGUAAGGCAAUGGUUGUUAUUGAAGUUCAGAUCAGAUCAGGGAAUACCCUAGGUUUCGGCUUUUUCCACGGUUCCGUAACGGUAGGUUUCGGCUCCUCGCUACAUCCCUUCCGCUCCUACUAAGGACGCUGCUGAACCGAUAGAAUUUGCCGAGCGAGCACUACCAUAACUUAUGGUAUCUGACCAGUGUUAAGCAUUAGCCAUCCAGGGAAUGAAACUAUGCGACUACCUGCGCUGUCACACGGCUCCAUUUAUCGAAGAAAGGGAUCAGACUGCUGCCAUUAAGGCAAUGAAAUUGACGAGGAAGAGUAAGGAGUUUGGCUGCGCCAAAGCAGAGGAACGGAGGGAAGCAGCCGCCGCUGCACGGGUCCUGCGCAUUAUCAAAACCAGGCAAUGUAGUCAAUGAACAAAAGUUUCGUUUACCACUGGGGUUCUUCAUAUGCACAGUCAGCUCAGGUAACGUCCAGAGGUGUUAAUACAAAGCAAGAAUUGGAUUCUAAGUAUUGCCAUUUCGUGUUCAGAAGUCUGAAGCACAUCAUUUGCGGGAAGCAGCGAGGAAGAAAAGCGUACCGUAUUGACGGUAGUGCAGAAUGAUCUCCGUCACGAUAUCGUACGUAUCUCCAGAGCACGAACGUACGGUAUACAACCGAGUUGCCCGACGUCGGACACAACAAACUUUCGAGCACCCUGUUCAUUUAGCCUCUUAAUCGAUGGAAAGAAAAUAGAGGUCUGCAGCAAACAAGAGCAAGCGACACUAAACUACAGUAGUGAUAAAUUGGCGGAACCUUCUGAUAAAAUGACAGAUUGGAAACCAACACCAACACGUCCAGAAAGUAUGAAGGAUAAGGCUUCUCUCGUCCAAAGAACGGUACUGAAGGCGAAAGAUACUCAAAAAUAUGUCAUUGGAUCCAGCUGCAACAAUGAAGAGCGCCGUCUUGAAGAAAUCACUUGCUGCUUCCUCCACCAUGUUCUCCAGUAUCUGGUCUUUUCGAAGUAGCUUAUUAGCUGAUAAGCACUAGCUGAGGCAUCUAGCUGAUGAGGUAAUCUCUGCAUAUAAUACCAACCAAGUUGGUUGUUGUUACUACAUGCUGCGAGCAUUUGGGAAAAUGACAGAAACAUAAAAUGGGUUUCUAGCUGCAUAAGCACAAUUAUACAGAAAGCAGUCUCCUUUAUUCGUAUCUGGGGAAAGGGUUGGUUCUCCAAAUUCUCUUUAAAGAAUGUUAAAGCAGUACUGUAAUUUUCUGGUGAAAUGGAAAGUGGUUGCUACCAUAUUGUUUGUAGUGAUUACAUCAUAAUCCUCAUCUUCAAAGCAAGGCUAUCCACCAGGGCUUCCAAUGCUAGGCUAACCUCGGCAAAGAACCCAAGGGAUUUGCAAAUUCUUGAAUCGAUAGACUUUCGUACAACGGCAAACAAACAGACGCGAUAGAGGGUUUUACGCUACUUCACAGUCAGCAGCAAGAGUGGAUGGUAUAACUCUAGCCAGCAGGCGGGAGGGAACGAAGCUCUUUCCUGAUCUUGAGCUAGAAUCCCUGACGUUGGUUGAUUUAGCUGUGGUGUAGCUUAGGAUCUUAAAGCUAUGCAGCUGGGUUGAUCCCUAUCGAUGGAAUGGAGCUUAUCAACUCAUGAAUAGCAUGGAUCGCCUUCUACUAUACCGGGCUAAGGUGCAACAAUGGAAGCAUACCAUGGAUAAUCCAGAGAUACAUCCUACCUAUGCCGAGAGCACAAAGAUCAAGCUAAGUAAACAGGUCUAGUUAAAGCCCACUGGAGUAAGGAAAAUACAAUAGGUUGCUUUUUUUCCCACCAUACCUGGCAAUGAUUGGUAUCCCUUGAUAUGUUAACACAAACUAACCAGUUGUCCCUUCCCCUAGAGGGGUUUCCUAUAUGGAUUCGUUCCCCUGAGCAUCUUCCAUGAAUUGACGUAUAUUCACGUAGCGAUAGCGGUAUCUUUUGAUAGAAGCCCACAUACCCACUCUUCUAUCCCACCUAUCCACAUAGGGUAUCAGUGGCCUCGUGAUCUCCAUGAACAGAGAUCACUACACAAAAACUGCUUAUGUUUCCAAAUUAGUCCAACUUCGUACCUUUCCGGCAUAAACCGUAUAUCUCAGAGAGGUCGUAUUUCUGUGGGUUGGUAGUAAUGGAAUGGUUUCAUUAUCUAAAAUGAAGAACAUUUCCCACCAAAAGAUCAGUCCAAUAAUACCACUCACUGGUAAAUAGCGCAAUACUUCUUCGUGAAUCUCCGCUAUUUGAAUAUUGAACAUCAUAACCACGAAUAGGAAUGAAACGGCAAUAGCUCCUAUAUGAACUACUGGGGAGAUCAUAGCGGAGAAGUCGAGACCUAACAAAAUAAGUAAACCAGAAGUGUCGCAAAAGACUAGGAUGGGAAACAAAACGGAAUGUACCGGUGAAUGGAAAAUUGAUUCUUGGGUAAUUUUACUCUAGAAAAAAGGAGGAGAAAGACCCUCGCUCACGUCGGCAGGCCCCGUAGGGGCAGUUGACGGAGGAACCAGGGCGGAAACUUCCCCACCAAUUGGGUAGAUGGAAGCUAUAUACAUAUAAAUAAAAGGGACAUACAUAGGUACCCACGGAAUGGGUAUAGGAAAAAGCGGCUGGCCACUCAAAUAAUGAAAAUGCAAUAGAAAAAAUAGAUUCAUUUGAUAAAAAUUCUGCAAUUGAAAAAAUAGAUUCAUUUGAUAAAAAUUCUGCAAUUGAAAAAAUUGAUUCAUUUGAUAAAAGUGAAAGUAAUGCAGAUUAGCAUUAGCGGUGAAAUAAGGGAUACUUGAAAUUGGAUUAGGGUUAGGGGGAGGAGGGUCAUUUGGAGAUUCUUCUUCUUCCAACUCCAUGUAAUUAGAACUCACACUUUCGCCACUCAAAGCCGGUCCAUUGACCGAAUUUGGGUAUGACGACGAAGGGUCAAAUUCGAUAAGCAUCCCGUCUAUUGAUGAUGGAAAAAUCCAAGGAUCCAUCGUUACUUCCCAUCUUUUUCAGCUCUGCUCCCGAAAAGAGAAAGGAGACUGAUCUUGACGUCGGCGUUGGUUUUUCCAACGAAACAUUCUUUCACGAACUAAAUGCUAGUUGCCUUGUAACGCAUACACUGGAUUGUCCGGUGAGUGAGCCUACGACCACCAAACUCUUUUCAGGAGAUAGGUCUACCGUUGCAAACUCAUCUGCUUGUAAAUUCAUUGUGUAAAAUAACUCGUAAAUUCAUUGUGCCAGAAUUGAUCACUGAUCAGGUGUGAUCAGUCUCAUCCGUCUAAGGAUCCGGUGCGAUGAGUCUCAUCCGUGUAAUAUUUUGGAAUUCCUCUUCCAACUCGUCCCGGAAUGGGCGUUAUGGCAAAGAACAAGAAGAAAAAGACAGAAGGAAUUUGUCCAAUAGUAACAAAUGGUGCCUCCACAGGUUGACAUCCGAUCCAACCUAGUAGUAAGCAAUCCGCCAAAAGCAACCAAAAUAUUCCUUGGUGAAUCGGUCGAAAACUUGAACUACGCACAUACAUUUCUUUAAAAAAAGGUAAAGCCAAGAGAGAUAUAAAAACUGGUGCUAUUGCGGCUACACCUCCCGCUUUGUCAGGUAUACUGCGAAGAAUGGCAUGGAUCGGUAGGAAAUACCAUUCCGGCACAAUAUGAGGCGGGGUGGGCAUCGGAUUAGCAGGUAUAUAAUUGUCGGGAUGCCCCAAAACAUUAGGAGCAAAAAAAAUCCAAAUGGAAAAAAAGAUAGCAGAAGCUACCCGACCUACAAGAUCCUUUACAUAAAAAUAAGGGUAAGAAGCAAUUUUAUCCAUCUCAGAAUGUACACCCAAUGGAUUAUUUGAUCCAUAUUGAUGCAAUGCGGCCAGAUGAAGAAGACUGGCGCCUACUAAAAUAAGGGGGAGUAAAUGAUGGAGACUAAAAAAACGAUUUAAGGUGGCAUUGUCCACGGAGAAACCACCCCAAAGCCAAGUCACUAUGGUAUCUCCUACUACUGGUAUGGCGCUAGCUAAGCUUGUAAUUACUGUUGCUCCCCAAAAGCUCAUCUGACCCCAAGGUGGUACGUAUCCUAUAAAAGCUGUCACAAUCAUUAAUAGGAAUAUGACAACUCCGAGACACCGAACAAAUUCCCUAGGACUGCUAUAACUCGCAUGAUAUAGACCACGAAAAAUAUGAAGGUGAACCACAAUGAGAAACAUACUUGCCCCAUUAGCAUGCAUAUAACGGAGCAACCAGCCCCCUUCAACAUCUCUCAUAAUGUGUUCUACGCUGUUGAAAGCUAGAUCCACAUGAGGUGUGUGAUGCAUAGCUAAAAAAACGCCAGUCACUAUCUGAAUGACUAAACAAAUACCUGCUAACGAACCGAACCCCCACCAAUAACUAAGAUUGCUCGGGGUUGGAUAAUCUAUCAAAUGCUGGUUAAGUGUGGAGUAUAUAGGUUGUUUAAGAAGAGAGAAUCGUUGGUUCCUUAUAGUCAUUUCUCUUUUCUAUCGUUACAACUCCUCUUCCCCCUUAUUUACCCCCUUGCCUUGAUGGAAAUUGGAAAGGAGAGAAUUUGAAUAAAGUAACUCUCGGAAACUCUUAUUGGACGAGAGAGAGUCAAUAUUAUAUUGGCGCGGGUUCUACCAACUAAACGAAUAAGUUUUGGAUUGGUCUUUCUUAUUAGGCCCCCGUUUUAGGGGGGGAGACAUGGGAGUUCCUUGGCUCGAGAAGCUGAACCUCCAUUCUCAUACCGCGAACCCAAUAGUAAAAUCCAGCAAAUAAAGCAAAAACGGCUCCCAUAGAAAGUACAUAAUGGAAAUGGGUAGUCAGUAUUGGUAUAAGAUCUAUUCCCAUGUUCCGAUCUUUUCAUUUUAUGUACCCAUUUCUUGGGUAAAAUCUCCCAACACCCGCCCCUUCAUACUUGGGGGGCGUAGUUGACUAAAUCAAUCCAGUUGCUAACAUCAAGGAAUAACCAACUAUGAGGUCCACGUAACAUGACAUCAUAAUAAGUCUCUCUUAGAAAGUCUGGCAUUACUAUUAUGUUUUCGUUCACAGCCCGAAGAAGGUCAGGCAUGUCCCAUUGUGCGGGUAUCUGUUUCCCUUCUUGCUCCACUAAUCUUGUGCAUUCUGCACAAAUCCUCAUAAACAAGUCGGAAGCCUCCGGCGGAGCGCUUUCCGCAUCUGACCUAGUUGAUGAGAGACUAAAAAAAGACAUAUUAGUUUGAGUUUCUUGAUAAAAGCGUAUAUCACUGGACGUGAUAUCUCCAUAGAGAAUCAAAUCUCUAUCAUUCAUUGGAAUUUCCCAUUUUUAUUCAGCUCUGCUCCCUAAAAAAAGGGGGACUUUCUAAAGUGACUGGGUUUUUUACCCAAGAACCUGCUAUUAAAGAGAAAGAGACAGACUAACAAGAAACAGCCUUGACUUAUUCCUACCUGGGACUGAACACCUACACAAUAGAGAUUUGAAGAAGUAACAACAUUGUUCUUUUUAAGUACAGUAAGAUUUCGACAAAAAGAAUGGGGGUCUUCCCCUCGCUUUGAGGGUCGCUUGAAUUUGAGUUCGUUUGCUGGUCAGGAUCGCCUCGAAAGCCGUUUGCGGGCGCAUACGUUUUCUCGCUUCAUUGUUAUACGAUUUUUUUCAAACGAGAUCCCUACCUACGACAUAAUUAGCGGGUCAGCCUGCCUUUAGCCUUGGAAGAACUAUUUGGUUGGUACUUGAUAAUUUCUAUCUGUGGCUACUCCGCGAGCCCUUGCAAAAUGGGACUUCCCUAGCUAUCAGUCUAAGAAUGCUUCAACGAGAAAACAAGCUGGCACAUGACAUCGUCUACCAACUGAGCUAUUUUCAUCGCCAUUGAAGCAAGUUUAACGCAAGCUCUACUCCCGGAAAGACAUGAACUCGGUUCCCGUACUGGUCACAUGCAAUUAGAGCCUAUCAUCCGCAGAUAUGGGGCGUAUGUCUUUACUAUACGCAUAUUUUUAUUCAUCCGUGAUAAAUGAGUGCUUCUCCUUUCCAGCACAGUGGNNNNNNNNNNNNNNNNNNNNNNNNNNNNNNNNNNNNNNNNNNNNNNNNNNNNNNNNNNNNNNNNNNNNNNNNNNNNNNNNNNNNNNNNNNNNNNNNNNNNCCACUGUGCUGGAAAGGAUCCUUUGUAAGCUACAAGGCCAUAGAUAUUGAAAACCUCUCUGUACUCGUUGGGAGCAAAGUUACUUGGUGUGUGUGCAGGUCCACGUCUUCUGCUAGCGCCAGGGUGGAAGACACCUACUUGUUGAGCCUAGGAGUCCUCUUGGUUCGAUAAACCUUACAGUCUCCGUGUAAGGGAAAUCUGCUGCUGACUACAUCUCCACCUCCACUUGGGGUAACCAACGAGGGGCAAGAAGUAUAUCCAUCAACUCGUCAUCACACAUUAAUGCUUAUGUAAAAGUGGUAACCCCAUUUGUGCUUAACGAUGAGUAUGACCUAUGAUCAAGUAUUCUUACUUGGCUCCUAUGUCAAUAUACUCAUAUAUAGAUGACUUUGUCAUCUCCCAAGUGCUUGAUAGCUGUUAGGUUGUGUGUGCAUGUUCACCAUGUUUUAUUCAUCAUUCCUAUUGUGUGAGCAUGUUGGUGUGCAUGUGUUUGAUCAUUCGAGGACAUCCAAUUGUGGUUAUUUGGCCUUUGAUUUAUCUUUUUCCAAUUGGAUGGACAAGAAUGCCUAGGACCCUUCUCUAGCUAUCUAUGAUAACUCAUCUCAAGUUCUAUUCAUGCUUCAUCACAAAACUUGAACAAGCACUUGUCGAUCCCUCUGUGUGUAGGUGCACUCGGAGUUCCUUAUUGUCAAAGGCUGCCUUCCAAAACCUCCUUGAAAAACUCGGUGUGACCAACUUCACAAACUCAGAGCCACCGAUUUUUCAAAGUUGACCAGGUUUUCAAUCUUGGUACCACUGAAAUCGCCAACUCGGUUACACCGAGUUUCCCUGUCUGCUGACAGUUGAGGAACUCAGUGACACUGAUUUUGCCAUCUCAGUGACACGAACAGCGCACAUGUGUAUAUACCUGCGGACCGAAUCUUUGACAAUACUUCAUAAAAAUGUUUCGUUCGCCAAAACCCUCGCUGCCCUCCAGACCCCAGGUCAUCGCCCUUGACUCCCCGAGCGCCUCCGCCUCUCGGAUUCGCCGCCGUCGACGUAAUCUGCCCCACCUCGUCGCCAUAGCCGAACCGCCACCGAGUUAGGGUACGGUUCGAUCUCCCUUGCGUUCCCCGUCCGGUUCUUACGCAUUAGGAUAGUUUAUUUCUCAUACCACCAUGUGCAAACCCUUCUAUCCACGAGACAAAUCUCGUAUAAUAGAAGAAGUAGAAAUUCUGGAUCUGAUCUGCCACAACAUGCAACUCGGUGAGACCGAGUUUGCAAAAUCGGCUCCACCGAUUCCUGUUUUAGGGUUCCUGAGAGGAAACUCGGUGAUACCGAGCAGUUCGUUUCGGUGCCACCGAAAAUGACUGGCAAGUCUGUGUUAAGCGAGUGAGCCUUCUCGGUGACUCUGAAAUUGCCAACUCGGUGCCACCGAUUUACAUCCUGUAGAAGAUCAUAUUCUGAGUUUCAAAACUUCAUAUUUCAAAAAACUUCUGAAACUUUGUGAUGCUCAUCCAUUAUGUCUUUCUUAUAUCCACUUCAUAGGUUCUAUUGUUUGCUGUUGAGUGUCAGUUAGCAUGUCAGGUU
Molecule: long non-coding RNA, 67137 nt
Filed under: Hordeum vulgare
Lineage: Eukaryota; Viridiplantae; Streptophyta; Magnoliopsida; Poales; Poaceae
Source: RNAcentral